This 53313-nucleotide long non-coding RNA is filed under the name Malus domestica (apple). RNAcentral describes it as "long non-coding RNA (MDOM_LNC001513)". The stretch from base 24919 to 24990 matches the Rfam family "tRNA". Lineage: Eukaryota; Viridiplantae; Streptophyta; Magnoliopsida; Rosales; Rosaceae. The record is from RNAcentral.
UUUUUUUUUUUUUGUACUUUUACUUCAUAUAUUGUAGCCUAAAUUCAUAUAUCAUUUGUCAUUUACAAUUAACACACAUAAUAAAUCAAAUGAUGCAUCAAGAUUCAUUAUGAAAAUUAAGGUUACAAUCCAAAUAGAAGUUAGAAACCAAAUCAAUAAAUAGAAGUUUUCAAUCCAAAUAGAAGUUAAAGUUUCAAACCAAAGCAAAAUUGAGAGUGGAUUUAAACUUCAAAAAACAAAAAUAUAGGGUAAAUUACAAAAAAACUACCUCAACUAUUGGGUCAACCACAGUUUCAAACUCAUCUUUAAAACAUCUCAAUGUCAUACAUUAUCUUCAAAUUUGUUGCAAUGACAUACCUUCUGUCAGUUUGUUUGUCAAUUCCUCUGUUAAAUGUUGACGUGGCUUUGAGGCAAAGCCCACUUUCUAUUAAAAAUUUAAUUAAAUAUUACAAAAAUUAAAAUACAAUUAUUAAAAUAUUUUUAUAAAAAUAAUGUGGGACCCACCCACCUUCUUCCUAUCCCACCCGUCUCCCCCCACAUUUCCUCCCUUCACUCCAAAACCAGAACCCCACCAUGACUUUCCCUCACCCUCAUCCUCCCCACUCGAUCGCCUUCUUCACCAAAUCACCCAGUCAUUUACACUUCGAUCAAGCCAUUCCCCUCCAUGCCCGUCCUCCCUUACGCCCCCCUCCGCCGCCACACCUGUUGCUUCAUCCUCAACCCUUUUUCCACCGUCGAUUACGCCACCAAGGUUUGGAUCUGCCCUGUCUGCUUCACUCGCAACCAUUUCCCUCCCCACUACGCCUCAAUCUCCGAUGAGAAUCUCCCCACCAAGCUUUUCCCCCAGUACACCACCAUCGAGUACGACUCGUCCAUCGAAAAACCUACCUCGCCUCCGAUCUUUAUUUUCGUUGUCGACACAUGAUCGAGGAUGAGCUCUCGUUUCUCAAGUCCACUUUGUCUCAUGCUCUUGGUCUCCAUCCCCAUAUAUGGAGAUAAAGGAGUAGGCGAGUGAUGGGGGAUGAGGGAAGGGGUGAUGGGGGAUUUUUGGGUCGGGUUGCUUAAAAGAAGAAGAAGAAGAAAUGGGAUUCUUGGGAGAAGGGGGUGGGUGAUAGGGGCUUUGGUUUUGGUGGUGAAGGAAGGUUGGGAGUUGGGGACACGGGUGGAUGGGGAAGAAAGGGGCUUUGGUUUUGGUGGUGAAGGAAGGUUGGGGGUACGUAGGGGACACGGGUGGAUGGGGAAGAAGGGGGUUUUGGUUUUAGAGUUAAGGAAGGAAAGGUGGGGGGAGACAGGUGGGAUAGGAAGAAGGUGAGUGGGUCCCACAUUAUUUUUUAUAAAAAUAUUUAAAUAAUUGUAUUUUAAUUUUUUUAAUAUUUAAUUAAUUUUUUAAUAGAAAGUGGGCCUCAUCUCAAGCCACGUCAGCAUUUAACAGAUUAAUUGACAAACAAACUGACGGAAGAUAUGACAUUACAACAAAUUCAAAGAUAAGAUAUGAUAUUGAAAUGUUUUAAAGAUAGGGUAUGAAACUGUGGUUUACCCAAUAGUUGAGGUAAUUUUUUGUAAUUUACCUAAAAAUAUACUAUGGAUGUGUUUAUUUACAAUCACUAGCUUAGACUGAACUAGCUAUUAGUCCAAUAUUAUGUUUGUCCCUCGCUGGACUAGAUUUAAAUGAGACUACGGCGGACGCUCUUCGACUAAGUCCUUCGCAAGUUCUUAGCGAAGCCCCCUAACAAGCAGAGGACUGUUAAGACCGUUUACGUCUUCCUCCUUGCAUCCUCGUCCAGUAGUCAUUCUCGCGGCCUCAUCCUCGUGCUGCUUUACCGAUUUCGUCGGACCACCCACCGAUGGUGAUGGUGAUGAUCAUCGAAAACUAUACGAGUUCUUGGCUCCGUGCUUCCUCCUUGUGUCCUCGUCCGGCCGUCCUCCUCACCUUUGACUAGCACUUGCUCGUCCUCUUCCUGCACCUCAAAAUCCAAGGUCCGCUUGAAUUGAUUUCACAUUUUAUGAAUUAACCCAAUUAAUGGAGGGGCUGCGUUGGAGAAGUUUUUGUUAGUAGUGGCUGCAACGAAAGAGUUGGGGCUGUGAUGGAAGAGUUGUUAGUUCUGAUUUUUUUUAAUGGAGUUGGGGCUACGAAGUUGGUUGUGAUGGAGGAUUUGUGGGGUGAAGGAAUAGUCGGCAUGAAGAUACUAGAAUUUUUUUUUUUUAAUUAUGGAUUUUAUAAUUUAAAAGAUUUAUUUAUUUUAUUUGCUUAUCUCUUAGUCCGACAUUGUAUCAAACGCUUCACUAAGUCAGUCCAACUUUGUUUAUUCUAAAUCAGUCCAGCUUAGUCUCUGAAGCUAGUCUAGUCUGAAAUAGUCUGGUGCAACAAAAGCACCAUAUAUGUUAAUUCUUAAAACAUAAAUUAUGAGUUUUGUAAAAUCAAAUCAAUGACCUAUAUUUUAUUUAAAGUGUGAUAAUGUUGUGAUAAUGUUGUCGAAUACCAAUACCGUAUCAUAAAAUUUCAGUUCGGUACAAUAACAUGUCAUUACCGAUUGACACAAAAAAUUUGGCACAAAAUUAGUAUGAUACGGUUGGCAUGGUAAUUUGGCAAAAAAAUACAUCCCUAAUUUCACCAAUUUAUCCCCGUUCGAGCUGAGAAAUCCGGGUUGGGUAUCAAUUUCAGACAGGACUUUGGGUUACAGAUACUAGGCCCAAUGGUCUCAAACUUUGGGCUGGAGGUGGUCUAAUGGAGUUCAAAUAGUUGCUUUCAUGGAUUGAAGACUGGAUGGAGCAGGAGGCUCUAUAUUUUUAUUGUUGAUAUAAGAGCAUAAUCAUGCAUGCAGUUCUUUUUCAACACAGAUUUUCCUCGAUGAACUACAAUUUAAUUAAAAAAAAUCUUAAUCCUUAAGCUCUGGACACCAAAGUCUGGAGAUGAUCCAAAUUCCUCCUUUUAGCCCAUCUUUCACUUUAUUUCUUGCUAAAAAUAAUAUAAUAUUAGAAUUAGUUACAAUGACUAGUGUUGUUGGAGUUGAUGGAGUUAAACUGAUUAAUUAAAACAAAGUUUGGAGUCAGUAACAAACUAAAUUAACAAAAUUUUCUAGUGUCUUAGAGAUGCUUUAAUGUACAUGACAUAAGAAUUGAGGUCUCCCAAAUAGAAAUCCACGUACAUAUGAAAGCCAUGUUUGCAAAAGCGCAUUGUUAUUAAGAAGUGCAACCUAAUACAAUCACAUGUAUAUGGUGCAAAGACUGACAAACUACAUAACAUAAGUCGGAAAAAUGAAAACGUGGUUAGUCAAGGUUUUAGAGCUAUCUCAACGAGACAAUCAGUAAGAACAUUUUCGAGAGAAGAUCUAAUUUUUGUUAAAAUAAUAACUGAACAGUGUCAAAAAAUUAUUUUAGCUACUCAAUUUAAUUUUUCGUCUUCAACAACUCUCUAUUUUAACAAAUUUUAAAUAUUAUAUUAUUAAUAAUUCAAAUUCAACCCAUUUAUUUUCUAAAAAUAUCACCUUCUCUCUUUCUUUUCUCCUUAGGUUUAUGGAUCUACCAUGAAGUUUUACCAAUAUUUAACAUUUAACUGACAUAUGAACCGUGACUAUAAAUUUAAAGAGCAAGUCACUUUGCUAUUAUAUAGUUUCUUGGAGAUGAGUUUUGGCUCUUUAAAAUAAAAUUUUAGUGGUUUACACACAGAAUCUUACUCACUAAACACAAGGUUUGACGAGUUUUGAAUACAUUAGAUAAGCAACCUACAUAGUGUCAAAAAAAUUAAAGUAAGGUUAACUUGCGUAACACUUUCUAAUUACCUGUAACAGUAUUAGCAUUUUUUUUUCACUCAUUUAUUGGAGUUCACAACAACUAGAUGAUCAUGAGAGGUAGUCCGAGUAAUUGCUGUCCAAAUCACAACUUAUGAACUAUAAGGGUCUAAUAUGUUUCGGGUUCUUCCGAGAUUUCGAACACACUAAGUCAAACAAGACACGAUAAUUAGGUCUAACAAAUAGUGUUGGGAUGAGCGGGCUAUUGCUGAAUGCGAAAUGAGGAGCACGGAAAUUAUUUUACUGGACAAUUUUGUUAUAUUGUGUACCAAAUGAACCUUCCCAAUUUGAGAUUCUCCUAAACAGCUUUGCCAAUAAUUCAGCGGGAGCAGUCUAUCAAAUCAAUAGUUCACAGUCCUAUCCAGGAAACCUGAAUUCAAAGAGGGAAGCAAAAAAUGGAAAGAUAAAAAACCAGCCUUCUUUCGGUGAAUGUGCCCACGCCAUGGCCAGUACGUGUUGAUAGGAUGGCAUUUUGUAAAAGGUUGCCUCGUUCGCAACCCACGCACAAUAAAUCACCCUAAACAGAAAAAGAGGGCAAGCGUUUUCACACAAGUAGAAUUGGCAUAGUUGGUUGGGUAACAGAUUUAAUAAAUACGCAGAAUACUUAGUCAAAUAAACAAACAAUACGAAAACGCAGUAUGUAGAGAAAAGCCUGAGUGCUGUACAUGAUAAUUACUAAUCGAGAAAUCUAUGCCAUCACAAUUGAGCACUUGCUUAAUAAUUUCUACUUUGAUGAGCUUCAACCAUUGACCAUAGAGUUUUUGUAUCUCAAUAAAAGCUCAACAAAUAACAAGUGCGAAAAGAUCACCUAGAGGUUAGGCGAGAUUGAUUGCCACUGCUAUUUAGUUGUAUGGUCACUGAAGAGAGAUGUUUAUCGCGAUAGUUUGUAGUAGUGAGGCUGAAGUAUUCCCUUCGCAGAAACAAGAGGACUCAGGAUGCUACAGAAUAAGAGGAUAAAAUAAACACUGGGUAAAAGCUAUUAAAAUAUAUAUCAGAAGACUAUGGAUUUUAGCAAUAUUUGAGCUUACAUCUGUCGUCUAGAGGAGUAUUUCUGGGAUUUCUAUAUAAUUUCAAGAUAAGAGCACACCAAUCAGAUUAAAUGGCGACUAAGUUCUCUGCAAUGUCUAAAAAACCAAAAACCGGUAGCAAUAGGAGGUGACCUCUUGUGUUAUUGGUUGUGAGUUUAAUGUAACCUACAGAAAGUUCUUUGGGUUUCGUAGUUUAACAAUAAACUAAAAACGAAGACAACACUGAUGCACAUCACAUGAACCCGAAGGCAGUGUGUAUCGGUUCUCAUCCAUGUCGAAUAAAGAGAAGGUAAAUGGGUAGUGGUACGUUCUUGCGAACGUUGUGACAUACUCCACGCCUCACCGCCCACCCGCCCCGACAAACAAAGAGCCACUAGAAAGCCAAGACGUUUACAGUUCGGUCUUAUAUUUAAAAGACUACAUUCACCGCAAAAGGAACAAAAGAAGAAAAAAGCUUUUGUCACAACCAUAAUAGAUACGGAUGCAAGUAAGAACCAAUGCAUAGACCUAAACGACUUUGGUUAUGUAAAUGAUAGCUAGUCUUACAUUAAUAAUGGGAGCUUUGUACAAAGAGCACUGUACACCAUUCUACAAAUUAACGUUGUUAGUGUGCACACUCCACAAGAAGACUCAUCGAAUACUGUGGGAGCGGAACUCAUACAAAACAUCAAAAAGGCCAGCUUCUAGAGGAUCUGAGUUAAAUCUAUCAAUGUCUUAAAAGUCACCUGGUGAAUACAUUUUUCUGGUGCUUGUUCGAGAGGCGAGUAAGAUUCGUAAGUGAGUAAAUUACAAGAUCUGACGGACAAGAAUUCUCUAUUAUAAGGGGAAAAGGCUCAACAUUAACGAAUGCUUGCUAGAGAAAAGAGAAUGGUUGUAAUACAACCCCUUCUCAAUUUUUUGAAAGAGAUAAAAUGAAAGUAAGGUCAAAUUCCAUGAAAAAACAAGACGUUGUAAAAAUGAUAAAUGCUCAGAUACGAAGAAUAAGGUGCACGAUAGUGAAUAGGAUUACUCACGAACACCACCCAAACCUAUUGUAACCCUUAAGGAGCGGAAAAUGGUCUUUAAUAAAAUGGAAUUAGAACUUUUUAAGGUGUCUAAUGGUCAAUAAGAGCGUGUGAGUGUCAAUUGCCGGGUUGUAAAAAGUGAAACAAUACUGUCUUUCGUAAUACUGUGCCAAUUAACCUAGUAUUUUUUUUUUGUGGCUUUUGUUAGUUUAUUGAUUAGGUGGAAGGGGAAUAUUUCAAACGCAACUCACGUUUGAAAAACCAAAAAAAUUGUGACAAAAGGCACUAUCAAUGUUUGUCAAGAGAUAUUUCUAUUCGAGGUUGUAGAAAAAUUCAUCAGAUAGGUUGAGUGUACCAACACGUAAUUCCAAUCAAUUUCAAGAAACUAAUCAACUCCAAGAGAGACAUAAAUUUGCGGCUGUUAUCAUCAUCAUAUUCACGCGGUUAAUGUCCUUGAGAAACAGAAGUUAGCAAAUAAAUAUUAUCAGGCACUUAAUUAUACAAAAUCUCUUCACCCGAUACACAACAAGUGGCAUAAAUUCCACACACCACACUAAUUUGAAGAGGCCAUAAUAAAUAACUUCUACCUCUAUAAUUUGUAUAAUCUAUCAGACACAAUAGUACGUCAUCCUCUCAACCGAAGGCGCAAGCAAGGCGGACUUAUGCAGCGAGUUAAAAUAGCACUAAACCAUCACACCACGCGAAGACCAACAUAGCACCAGAGGCAUACACGGAAUUGGGAGUUCCAUGCCCAAUCAUGAGAAUUCACAGAAAAGGCCAAAGGGACGCGGACCACAUAAAGUAGGGCUUCUAAUGGACAUUUGUUUAUCACUUUCGGCCUAAUCCGUCAAACGUACACGAGUCUGAGCCGGAACACGCCCGCACCUACAUUCACUUUUUUAAGUUAACCGCACCCAGUUCUAGAUACAAACAACGUUCAGAAUUUCAAACAUGACACAAAAAAUACAAUCAUUACAAUACUGUCGCGAAUAUAGAGCAAACAGUAACAAAUGAAUGUGAAUUCGCACCAAUUAUUCAAGGCAAGAGAUACUUUUUCUAAGAUUAUCAUCGACUAAAUAUUAUGUAUCAGUAACAAACACCGAAAAAAGCAGGUAGGUACUGAAGAUACAAGUUAAGAAAAUUUUGGAUUCAAUAUAGAAAGUUUAAAUUCCGCGCUAAGUGAAAGCCCGGACGGUAUAACUUUUUUUAGACAUACAGGAUUUUAAAACCCUUCUCUUUUUGAGUCGCGUCCGCGAAGUGAUAUCUUUUCCUCUUUCAAAAACGACAUUCAAUAUCAUAUAGGCUAUGACGUUCCCUAAUAAAUUACUUUUUUUCAAAUUCUAUCAUACUCACAGACAAUCUAUGUUUCCAGAUUUGUUUUAAUAUCGUGAGUAACUUAUUUGUAUGUCCACCGAGUAAAGCGUAGCUGUGACGUAGUGUAUAAAAAAAAAACAAAAGAGGCCUUACAAGUGGUAGAGGUGCGAGUAUAGUAUUUAAAUAAAAUUCCAUUUCACUUGUGUUCACAUGUAACAUCAUAAAAUUCCCAUCACACAACAAUUUGUCUAUCAAUAUAAGUUGCCUAUAAAGCUAUAAUUUUUUUCCUAUAACUUCUAUUUUACAAAGAGUAAAUACUCAAUACCUCCAGCGUUCAGGUCAACUUACAACCACUAACCAAUAAGGAUUGCGCUUGCCACACACGCACUUCUCAAUAAAACAAUCCAGUCUCUGAACAUAGUAAUCAACCAGCGGUAUAACGCCCCAUUUCUUUCAAAAUAACAACCUCAUUUCGCUCGUUAGAUUUCCAUCCAUUAGUCGUUUAAAUGCUGACGUGGCGCCCACAUUGUGCUGAUAGGUGUUUAAUUUUAGGACACGAGGCGUCAGGCCACGUAGGCAUAAAAGAGACUAAUUUUUCUAAUUUUCAACUUCUUUAUUUAUAUUCUAAUGCUCUAAAGUAUUCCACAAAAAAGAGAAAAAAACUUGAAAACGGCCAGAAACCAAAGGUCCCCCUUACUAUCGUGUAGCUUUCUCCCUCAUAUUCGGUUUCUCUUCUCCGCCCAACCCACAAAAAAAACGAACUUGAACCAAUAUUUCUUACUCUCCUCUCUGCCGUGCAAACAAAACUCAACUAUACACAAGAACCACUCUCUACCCCUAACGCAACCUUGCCUGCAUCACCGACGCACUAGACUCUCUUCUUCCCCCCCCCCGCUCUUCUGUCUAUAGCAAACCUGGAAAUGAGACUAACACAUCCAAGACAUUGGUCGCAAACAAAUUCUGCAACCCAAAAGCCCAUACAGAAAACUACACUCCCACCCCAAACAAACCCUAAUCCUUUGAAACCAUUUCUCGUUAUUUAAACACACUUUGGGCACAUCAGCAAACUAACCAAUAUAGCCCUCGUCCCUGUACCCACAACACCGCCACCCGCGGCCACGCUGUCGCCGAAAACUCGCCUUCUGCCACUAACACGGCAUCACUCCUUGCAUGAUACUCCUUACAGACAUUUCACAUGUUAAAGCCGACUACUACGUUUAAUAUAAAGGCGCGACAAAAGACAAUUAGCCUUGAAUACCUCUAAAUCCCAAAAAGACUCUGGCAUACCAUAACUAGACACAUGGAAAAUUAAACUCCACCCUCCCUACCAAAACAAACCAGAUCACACGGAAAAUAAUUGCUCCCCCUCCUUCACCCCAGGAUACUCUCAAUCCUGGGAGACAGUAGGAAAUACAUACCCGGGAACACGCAAUAGGUCUCCUGAUCCGAUCCGGGAGUAUCCGAGGCGAUCUUUCAUAUAUAUACCUAACACGAGGUAUCUAUCUCAAACAUUCCUCAGUCAUCAAAAUUAUGGAGACUCAUAUUUCUGAGAUAACCAUGCGUUCUUUUGAGAGUGAGUCAGUUUGAGGUGGCUAGCUCGCUUCUACCGGUGAGAGAGAAGGUUGACGUUGAUUUUCCGGAAGAUGUAACAUAGUCUCGAAUAGCACGAGAACCAGACCCCACACGCACAACAUAUAGCAGGCCGCGGCUGCUCAACCAAAAAUGACGACGAAAGGGAGGCGCAAGCUGACACGAAAGAAGAUGCGUACAAACAAACUAUAAACCAGAAGGAAAAUGCUAGAAGGAAGGCGGCGAAGACCACGAGAACGUAGUUCUUGGCGUCGGUGGAAGACAAAAAUCCACACUGAGCGAUAGGAGCAAGAAGCUGGGGGGGUCAGCGCGAUGGAACUGCCGCUUCAAGUUUUAACAUUUUUAUCUUGUGAGUAUAGCUAGUAGCAUAAUAAGAACAGCACCAGACUUAAGACAGAAAAAUAGAACCACAACUUAACGUACUUCUCCUUGGGCCCAGCGCCGCUAGGCGACCACCCGAGCAUUCAACUACGACUCGUCGGUAUACCGGUGAGUAAUCUAACGAUGUUAUCCUUGAAGAUAACUAACCAGUUAGACUAUGAGUUGUCUAAACAGUCACCCAAAUGCCACUGCAUCCACGCGCGCGGUAUUUGGAUAAUACAGAAGCAUUAUAUAUGUGGUGAGAUUGAGGAGUUAGGAAGUAAUUGGGGCUCAAAACACCACCCGAAGGGUAGCACUAAUUAGGAGCAUCGUUACCCUUAAUUAUCCAAAUAUGCUAUAUACAAUAUUUUCUUAUAUCAAGAUAUACUACUAUAUCCUAUUUUACAAAUCUUGCGCCUUAAAGUAUUUGAUGGGAGAAUUUAUCUUCUAUUGUUAUUAAAUUAUCGACAUUUAUUAUGCCUAAUAUCAUCUAGCCUUCAUGAGUUGAAAAGAAAAUUGUGAUGUUCAUAUUUUUUUCAAAUUCUAUUUUUUUUGGUCACUAAACAGACCUUCCUAGUCGUCAUUUAUACAACAUUAUAUAUCUCAAAAAUAAGGGUACAUAAAACUAAACAUUAUAAACAGAAGUUAAAUAAUACAACAAUUAAAUAUUAACACCAGAAUAUCAAUAAAGCAAAAUAAUUCACACAUCGAGACAAAAAAACAUUUACAUCAAUGAAAUUAAAUAACAAACAUUUCUAAAAAACAUAACGAAAACAUAAAACACAUAAAAGCACAACCCCUUUCAUUGGAAACUCAUUGUGGCCCCGAUUGGGGGCAGACGUUUUGUGAACAUGCGAAGUUAAUAACGAGUCAUAAGAGUACUGGUCCCUUGGCGCUCACUCUUAGAGAGAGUGGAAUGAGGACGGGCAAUUAUGAUCUUGUAAUCCUCGUUCCAUUAAAAAAUUUAAAUUGAGAAAUCUGAAAAGGUUAGCAAGCUAAAAAACGACGCCCAUCGUACCAGUACCUCGGUUAGUAGACAUACGGGCUACAAUAAUCAACUCAACUUAUGUUUACUCGGUCCGGCUCCUUUGGAGCGUACCUUUGGAAGAGCACGAAUGGAUAAACCGUCGGAAGGCUGAUUCCAACGACAAAGCAAAUGGGACACGAGCUAGGUAUAGCUGAAUUCUUCUCUCAGAGUGAAGAAGUGCUCGAUCUUACAGCGAGAGCCAGGGCACCAAAUAGAAAGAUGCAGAGCAAAUACUGUGGGACAGACACUGCUCUCCUAUCAGCUUACAGUACUACAGACCUGCACUAUACGAUGUCAGAUAGGUCAAUCGAUCUCUCAGCCAUCUCUUGACCAACAGUACCAAUGCUUGCCUGUAUCGAUCCAUCUCCUGCUACCCAUCACAGAACGGAAAAUUAUUGGUUAAAAUUUUAGUGUCUUUGUAAAUGGUCACUGGUCAGAGAUGUAAAGGUUCUCAGAGAAGAAUCUAAAAACCUGCGCGAUCGUAAAGGGAGGCUGAUAGAUCCAAUGCUAGCAGAGCCAGGUAUGAAUACAAAUUCAAGCAACAAACUUGAACAAGAACAUAAAGUCUAAUACAGAUUCACAUUCUAAUCACUAAUCCAAGAACAGUCAGGAAGUCAAUAUAUGAGAUAUAUACGAACAUCGCGCGCGGAGAGGAAUAAAAUACACUAUCAGAUUCAAAACUCACGCCAUUGUUUCCUUCCUGCAUGUCUGCAUUUGAAUUUGGUAUUACUAAAUUAAAGGGCAACGAAGGUGGUGGACAGACGAGUAUAUAUAGAAAAAUUAACAAAACGAGAGAUGUAGUUAAUAAAGUAAAGACUAUAAAUUAAAUGGAUUAAAUUAUUUAUAUUAGCUAUUAAGGAAUUUAAUUAAUUAUGUAUUAAAUUUAAAUGUGUUUUCAAGAAAUAAUAAAUAACAAUAACACGUGAAAUUUGAAUUCAAAACAGUGUGUGGUGAGUGCCUUUUAGAGGUACUUCUCAAAUCAAUACAUACAGUCAAACCCAUGUUAGUUUAGAAAAAUAACGGAUAAAUAAGGUUUUUCCAGACAUUCAAAAGAACUUUUAUUUUAAUGCGAAAAAAUGAACAAAUUAGGGAAAUUCAUAGGAUUGAUGCAAUUGCGCAAAUAAACAUCAUAAGUUGUAGAUAGGAAAAAACCCGAAAUAAGAAAAACAACACUAAGUGAGAGUAUUGUUUCGAUAAUUAUUGUAAAAACUGCAAUAGUACCCGAUGAGAAGAUAAUCCACACAGCGUUAGAAACUUCUUAAUUUAUCAUUUGAAUCAACAAUCCUUUUAAUUUGAAAACUAAAAAUUAAAAAUGUGUAUGAAAAGUAAAAAAUGAAGACCUAUAUAAGAGAGAAUGGCCAGUACCCGGGAUAAAAACUUGUAUAUCGGUUUAAUAUAAUUAUUUCAACUUAUAAUGUCAUCUUUUCCAACAACACUACCUUUUAAACUGCUCUAAUAUUUGUAUAUUAAUCAUAUGGUAAAAUAAUUGAGCGAUGAAAUAAGGGGGAGGGAAUUGUUGGAUACAACAAAAGUAGAUGGGGCUAAAGACCCCGAUCUUAAAUUAUGUGGAGAGAGUGGUUUUCCAAGCCAAAGUUAACAUAAUAGGAGAUUAAAAAUAUUAUAUAAAAGCUUGUGACUAACAUUAUCGAGAUCUCAUGACUUCAUACACAAACGACUUUUAAAUGGGAAGAGGAAUUGUGCACAUGUUCCCGGCAACUUGUAUACGCAUCAUACUUUUUCUCACGAUCACAUGGGAGAAAUGAAGAGACAAUAGUCACUAAAGGCAUAAAAUCAAUGACCGCAAUUAUCCUAAUGCGACCUAGGUGCGACUUCUCAUUUGUCCUUCCCUUCAAGGGAUGGCUUGCUAUCUUUUGGUGUGUAAAAAGCGACUCAUAAAGUAAAGGUUUCUUGUUCAACUCUAUUAGAUAGAGGGAACUUAGUCAAUGGUAUUCAAAAAUUUACCAAUGAGUCCAAAACUGGCCAAUUUACUCACUCCCACUGGGAACUUCUCCAAACUAUCCAAGCCUUUCCCCGAAUGCGCGUACGGGCUAUAAAAGCAUAGUGCUUCUUAUUAGGAAAAAUUAGAGGGACACGCCAACGAUUUUCCAUGUUACCAUCGCACAUAUCCCAGGCCGAGCCAAGCGCCAGCAAGGAAACAUAGGAAAGAUAUAGUAGGCCCUUCACUAUAGGAGAUUACAUAAAUAAUAUCAUCCAAAUUUUCUUGUUAAGUGAAGCUUAAAUAGGUGUAACAACAACAGAUGAUGGGAGCUGGUAGGUUAAUGCAAGGUAUUAACAAAGUUCCAUGAAAUAAAAAUCGAAUUUAAAUGCAAAACGAAAAAAAUCUAGCUAAAAUAAACUCACUUAUAAAAAACUUUUCCCUGACGUAUUUGAGUUCUUCCCGCUUUCUCUACACCCCACAAUACCCUCACAAUUCUUAUUUCUUCCAGCGCCUCAGCGAGAGAGCAUAAGAUAUAUUUACCCAUAUGUGGUGAGUUACUUCAUAAGUAGCUAAGUGUAGUAUUUUGCGUUUGAUGUCUAUGUAGGGAAGCCCAUACAAUCGUCAUUAAUUUCAUCUACCAAAAAUCACACUUCCACUGAAUGACCAUAGAGAAGUAUUUCUCGUCUAAAAAUGCAAUGCAUUAAAAGACCAGUGCAAUAACAUAUAUUGUUCUAUAAUAAGCCAUAAAAAACACAAAUUCAACCUUGGUUUCUCCAUAGCGCUAAAAAAAAUUUAAAUUAUCACCUAACUCAAUAUGUCAUACAGAGGAUAACAUGACUACUUCCACUUCCCAUAUUAUCUCAAUUUCGAGAGAGCAGCGAUCUAAGAAGUUUGGAAAACGUAACACUCUUACGUGUAAACCUUACUUAUCCAUAUGCAUCUUCAGAUUGUCCUUAAUGAUAAAUAAAGGAAGAUCUAUUUAAGUAGAAAACUCAAUUCCAUAGAGACGGAAGGCCACAAAAGUGUAGUUCUCUCCACGAUAAAGUCAUAAAGCAUAUCUUCUGAGAGGAGACAGUUAUAUUCUGGAUAAAAAUGUUUGCUUCCGGUUACAUGAUUUCUAUUGCGAUUUAUAAAUAAUAACCUAAUUUGUGGCACAUGUGAUUAGGAUUAUUGAUGACUGGUGGAAGGUCAUCAUAAUCAUGUAGAUCGAAGCGAUCUAUGGGUAAUGGAAAUACCUUUAUUGAUGGUAUGCGGUAUAUAAUUCGUCACUGGUAUGGUAUCACCACCUUCCUUAAGGACAUUUGGCAAGAAUGAUAUUUGAGAUUGAAUAAUAAACAGUUAAAUGAAUGAAGUAUAGUAAAUGGAUCUUGAGCAUGUUAUGAAGAUAGGUGAACAUUGUUUCUAUAUAAGCACUCUUGGGAGACGCUCAAACACGAAUUAGACACCAUCGAGUUAGUUGGCACAAAAAUAUUUACAAUCUGUUAUAUGCAAGAUAAAAAAAAAGAUAUGAGUAGUAACCAUGCUAAAGAAAAAGAAUUGUAGCUACUGUAUAUAAUUUUUUCAAAUUUAAGUACAUCUGAAACUAACACAUAUGUCCUAUACCCACGCAAAUAGCUUAAAGACCUAUGAGAAGCGAGAAAAAAAAAUAUGAACGGAUAGGAAUUCAGCGUAAAAAAUAGAGAACAAUUACAUUGAUUUUUUAUUAUGUGUGUCAGUGUUGCAAAACCAUUUUUUUAAGGUAGAUAUGAUCUUUAUAAGCAGCGCAACACACAGUUAUGUGCACAGAAGCCCUCAACUGACAAAAAAGCAUGAACACCAUAUAUAUGAAUAACCUUGAGAGGUAGCGAGAGUCGGAAAUAAAAAUUAGUUGAUCCCUUAAUUUCCUAUAGAAAAUUCAGGGGAAAAUUCUAAGCAAGUCGAAUGAAAGUUCAGUGGGGUUAAAUAGACAGUGAUUAUAUGUGUCUUCACUAAAAGUUUAAAAUUAUUUGAGCCAGAUUAUAAAUAUCAACACAUCACCAUCUUAAAAAUUCAUAUAAACCAUUAGAAAACUCAUAUAAUUUUGACUUUUUUAAGCGCUCUCUUUCAUACCAAACAAUAUUCUCUCAAUUUCCUUUUAUGAGCACUACUAAAUAGAAAUAACCAAUACGGCAUGAUCCAUAAAAGCCACAAAAAAAUCUAGUACACAUGUCAUGGCACGAGCUUGAACCCUACGUUUUAGACUUACAGUCCUGUAACCAUAAAAACGAUAUAUUACACCUACUAUCAAAUCGAUUCUUGCCUUUUUAAAAAGCAAGAAACCUCCAGCAUUUCUGUCAGCACCAUAUAUAGGAAAUCUGGUUACGAGCAACUACCCUUUACUUUACAGCUCAUAUCAGCAUAGCAUGUCCUAACGUAACCAUCACAACUAGAGCUACUCCCAACUAUAAGGAAUCAGGAUCGCUCAUCACAUUUUAUGCAUUAUUCGGAUAAACCUCUUCCCUUUCCUGAUUUGAGCGACUUUGUUACCACAAAAAACCACAUAAAGGAACAUAUAACACCAUGACUUGGAUCUCGACUUGGACAGACACACACAGACAAAUCCAAAGGAGAGCUAACUGCCAAAAAAGAUUGCAAAGAGAAGAGGAGAGGCUGAGCAUGAAUCCAGUCCUCCAAGUGAAUAUCGCGAGAGAGAGACAGGGCUCACGCAGGGCAGGUAUAGUAGAUAAAUGUCUCUCCUGCCCUUAUACGUGUCACACAAUUUUACAUAUGCCUAUGUCUUUUGUGUAGUUACAAAACAAUUAUAGGGUAGAGAAGAUUCCAACACGCGUCAACAUUAUAUGACCUUAAUAGCAUGAGAUACAUAUUUUGUCUCAUUUUUAAGUAAAAACCAUACGAGAGAGAGACAUAACAUUAAAAAUGAAAAAAUUGUUAGAAAAGAAUGGCUGUAAGGGCAUCCGUAAUUGACUCCGGAGUAAUAUAAAAUAAACUCCCGGAAGUGUAGUGCAGACAAUUCUUGUCCCACACGCAGCAGCUGCAGGUCCAGAAGAAGUAAAACCGCAGAGAUAAUAUACCAGGGAUGUGCACAGAAUAAUGUGAAUUCUACUUAUGUUCAUUCUUUGUUGAUAUGACACAAAAUGACACACACUAUGAUAUUUGUAAGUUGUCUCAUCACGUAUAGUAAUAUAGAGCAAUAUCGAGGAGUCUUGGCAGGUUUAAAGUGUAUCAUGCGAGUGAGUGAUCGAUAUAUAAAUUAAUUAAAUGAGAAUUAAUUGGGUGGAUGUGAGUAGAUUGAAAGAUUAUAAAUUUGAUGAACCGUCGUGAGCUUGAUAGUUUUUAAAAUUAAGUGAAGCGGCAUUGAAUUACAUUAGCAGAAAAAGUCUCAGCAAAGAAAAAGUCUUGAUUAACACGAUAUCAAAUGAGAGAAGAAUGAUAAGAUAUAUUGAUAAUUAAGAGAACGGUUGGGUGAGCGUAGAGUUUGAUCUUACUGACAAGUGGCACUCUUGAGUCAUCAUAAGUGGGCUUAGCUUGCUAAAGUGGGAGGUACAUGUAUAGAUCACGAUGAGAAAUCACGUAAUUCGAGAUGGGCUACCAUGCGGCUUGCGAGAUUGGGCUUCAAAACGCUGGUGAUGGCUUAUGAUUUCUAUGUGUUUUGAAUAUAAUCAUCUUGACUCGACAGUGAAUUCGGGUUUUUGGAUUCAUUUAUAGAGAAAAAUAGGGCUCACUAACUAAGUAAUAUAUUUGAAGGGUGGUCGAUAUGUUACUAGCAGUAUCACGUCAUCUUUAAUCGCACACUGUACACCAGAGGUUGAUAUUAGAUCCCGAUAUCAGCAAUUUGACGAGGCCCAUUGUUACACCCUAUAGCUUCUUGCUUGGUACGGUUUUUCUCAUUAAGGGAGCUAUCGACCUUUCAAAAAAAAUAAAAAAGAGAUAUUAAAAGACAUUAGAAUUAUAACAAAAUUAAAAUACUAAGGUUUAAAAAACUAAAAUAUGUAAUGGAAAAAAAAAGAAAAAAGAACUCAUGAAUAUUAAAAAUCAAUCAUGAAAAGUGUAAAGUGUAGCUAAACCUAAUACAAAGUAGGAAAUUAGGUUCUCAUCCUAUUUUUCUUAAACUCCAUUGAUUAAAAUCUGAUAUCUAUUCUUUCUUCACACAUAUUUUCUAUAUGUCGAGCAUCCGUCGAGGUAACUAUUAAAUGUAAAAUGUCAUUAACAUUAAUGCCAUCAAAUACAAGAACAAUGCAAUCAUCUAUAUAUCGCUAAGCAUAAUAAUCAUUAGUGUUUCAGAAAAGCCUAAUAAUAACAACGUUACAUUUUUAAAUUAUCACUAUAUGGUUAACAUUUUAACACAAUCUAUUUUAGUUUACCCAUUUUUAAAGUCACAAACAUCAUUACAUUAUGAUGGCCUAAUUGUACAAUUUUCUCUUUGUCUUGAAAUGGUGCACCAACAUAAAAUUAAUUACAUUUUAAGUAAUAGCACCCAUAGAAUACUUAAAUAUUAUUCUAUUGUAUUGAAGGUAGCCCACACUUUUUAAUUGUAAUUUGUAUGUGGUAUCCCGAGCAUAAGAUUUUGUACUUUUAAAUUAUAAUAUGUAUCACCCAUAUUAUACAUACGCUUUACUAAAAUGACCUCACACUAGCUAAUAAACUGCGUAACUGAAACAACAUUAGGCACCAAGUAAUUUCUUAAUUUAGUGCUUAAAAAAUUUUAAUUAAUCUUAAAAUGUACUCAAUACAUUAUAAAUAAUUAUCAAGAAUUAUAUAACUAAUGUAAGAGAAAUUAACUCGAAUAUAACAUUUUUUCUAAUGAAAAAAAAGUUGCAUACUUAUAACACAUUACUAAUUCUAAUACAUACAAAGUUUUUACAUAACUUAUAGGUGUACAAUCUUUUUCUUUGAUUUGACGAAAUAUAUCAUAAUAGUUAAUACGAAAAAUUUGAAUGAGUAAACAUUUACUAAAUGUAUUAGUCUUUCUCUAUUUUUUUUGUUAUAUACAAGAAAACAUUGAGCGUGAGAAAUAUUUUAAAAUGGUGUGCGAAGCAAACUGUAUUAACACUCCUUCACACAAUGCACAUCAGCCUCUUUUGCAAUUACAAUAUUUUCUGAGGUUAAAAAUUUUGAUCGAUGGCUCUAAGAAACUUGUGAAGUCUCCCCGAAAAAAAAGAAUGUUCACCACAUGUUCCUUAACACACAGCGUGAUCAAAUCGAUCAACACCUGCAUAAUUCGACAAUAGUAUAAAGUAGUGUGUAAAAUUUUGAAGUAGUAAAAUAUUUUAAUACUCCUAACAUUAGUUAAUCUCUGUCUCCCACAAAUAUGGUUUUCUCUUAAUUUAAAAUCUCAUUUAAUAUAAUACCAACUAUAAUCCAGAGAUACAAUUUUUGAAAAAUAUUAAAAAAGCCAAUGGUAGAAGACAACAGCAUCUUAGUAAUAUUAGAAAGGUAAAUUAUAAAAGUAAAGCAAAUGAACAAUUUAAAAGUUCAAUACUAGAUUUAGUAUCAAUGAAACUGAGGAGGGAAUCAAAAAGUUGGAAAACCAAAAGGAAUAAUCAUCAAAUACAUAGUGCAAACGUAGUCAGGCGUUGUUUAAUUGGCUGCAGUUGAGUCAUUGUUUAAAGAAUGUCAAACGCUUAUCCAUCCGCUAUCGAGAUUAAAGCCCCGACCUUAAAAUGGCUUCAUGGGGCGCAAUCCAGAGACGCUCUCUUAUUAUUGUGAUAUCUUUCCCGUUUGGUCACCAAAGUAUCAAAAACCCUUUUUUUAGUAUAGGGGAAGGAUAAAUUAUCUCGGUAUAUACAGCAUGGGAAUGAAAUUAUGAGCAAGAAAGUUUGUUUUUUUAAUUCUAUUAGUUUUUCUGGAUCAAACUGGACAAAAACACACAAAAAAGUAUGGGUUAAAAACCGACCUUGAAAAGUAAAUCAGAGAUCGGUGAUCAUGUGACAUGCAAGAUAGGCACAACAAAUCGCACAACGCCAAAUCAAUUCUUCACACUAGUACAUUUAAAUUUUACCAAAGUUAGUCAUUAACAGCUUGGUGACAAAUGAACACGUACAACACUAAAAAAAAAUAACCCCCAUAAGAAAAUGUCAUGUGGAUCGGCAGAAAAAUAUCAUUUCAGUGAUGAGAUUAAUAGGACGGUUGAUUAGUUGCUGAGCCGUUGUUAUAUCUUUACCCAAUGACAUCAUAGAAUGCAAGUAGGUCCGAGCAAUCAGCAUCUCAUUUCCUGGGCCAAAUAUGCUUCGAUCCUCGGGUUAUGUGUAAAUAACCAUAGCUGUGUUCUUUCUUGUUUUAGUCGUUGGGGCUCUGGGAUUUCCUAGCUUGAAAAGGCGGACCAAUGCCCCUUCACUUUCACACUAAAGCUUGACACCAAAGAUUAAAAAUGGUUUGUUUGACAAAGGUCAAGUGAGUUGUGUAAAAAUGUUAUACACCUUGGGAAUUUCAAACCAUUAAUCGUCCAGAACACUUGAUUUCUCAUCAGUCUACAACAUAGUAUAAAUGUUGAAAAUUUAAUUUAUUGUUGUAUCUUCAGUUGUAGAUAAGAAGCUCUCAUUCUCAUAUAAGAAAGAAAAAACUCAACCACAAUUUAAUUUCUCAUAUAGCAAAGAUGGAAGCCACACACAGUCUAGAAAAACAAACUCAAACUUAUACGAUGAUGAUUCUUACAUAUAGCAAAUGUUGUUAUAAUUACAAUGGGGCAUUUUUGCCUAAUCAUAGGGAAUUUAGGCUUUCAAUCUGUACAAGCGAUAUAUUUGGAAGAAGUCAAAUUAAAUUUAAAAUUUUGGUGUGUAAAAAUGAAUGAUUUUAACCAGCUAAAAAGCUAGACUUGUAUGCAAGUGGAAAACAUAUUAGAAGAGUCUAAAAGAUCAUUUCCUCUAAAAACAUGCUUUACCCUUAAAAACAUACUUAGUCUAAAAAACAUGACUACCCUUAAAUCAUGCUUUACCAAGUUUGUGCCCUAAACACCACUGACCCCUUUAACUUAUUAUAAAACAAAAAUGUCACUCUUAUCUUAUUAUAUUUUUUAGGGAGACUUUGGAUGCGGUCCCUAGUUAUGAACAGUCUUUGACUGAAACCUUAUUGGUUUUCAAUUUUUGAUCCAAGUCCCUGAAAUUAAUUGAUAAUUUAUUUCUAUGUACGUUACUAUAUUUUUUAAAUUAAAAAUUAAAAUUUAUAGUUGUUUAUAGUAAUGAGAUUUUAAAUAAAAAACCAUAAUUUGUGGGAUUAAAAAUAUUAAAAUAUAAAUAUACUAUUGUGUGUGUGUGUGUGUGUAAACAUGGGUACAUUCAUAAAAAAUAACCAAAAAAUUAUUGUAUCAAAACAUGGGUACAUUCUUCAAAAUGGGUACAUUUAGCAAAAAUAAAAAUGGGUACAAAUAAAUAAAAAAAUAUGGGUACAAUACAAAUAAAACUUUAAAAAAUAUGGGCACAAAAAGAAAUUAAUAUAUGGGUACAAAUUAAAACUGAAAGGAAAAUUGGUACAAAUUAAAAAAGGGUUGCAAAUUAAAAAUGGGUACAAACUAAAAAUAAAAAUAUAUGAUAAAAAAUUUAGCCAUAAAUAUAAAUAUAAUAAUUGUAACAUUUUUAAUAUUAAAUGAAUAUAUUUAGAAAUAAAAAAUAUUUUAUUAUUGAAAUAAUUAAUGAUAUUAUUAAUACAAAGGACCUUGAUCAAAAAUUGAAAAGUAAUAAGGUUUUAAUCAAUAGAGUAGUAAAAAUAAGGAUGAAAACCUAAUUACUCCUAUUUUUUACAUUACAUUUGUACCAUAUGUUUAAUAAAGAUUAGAUCCAUAUGUGUUUGUAAAUUCUACUAAAUGAUACAAAUAUAUUAUAAAAAAAAUAUAAUAAGUGCAGUAUUACUCAAUUAAAAAAAAAAAUUAGGUUCACAUCCUUUUUUUUUUACUCCAUUGAUUAAAAUCCUAUUCAUUUUCAAUUCUUGAUCAAGGUCCUUGGGUAUUAAUAACAUCAUUAAUUAUUUGAAUAAUAAAAUAUUUUUAUUUUUAAAUAUAUUCCUUUAAUGUUAAAAAUGUUACAAUUAGUAUAUUUAUAUUUAUAUUUAUGGUUAAAAUUUUUAUCAUAUAUUUUUAUUUUUAGUUUGUACCUAUUGUUAAUUUGCAAAUAUUUUUUCAUUUGUACCAAUUUUCUUUUCAUUUUUAAUUUGUACCCAUAUAUUAGUUUCUUUUUGUGCCCAUAUUUUUUAAAGUUUUAUUUGUGUUUGUACCCAUGUGUAUACCGUCACGUGACAUUGUAUAUUUAAUCAAUGAUAGAAAAAUUACAAAUGGUAUAUUUAUGUUUUAUGCCUAAACUUUGUAUCAUAUAUUUAUAUUUUUAGUUUGUACCCACUUUUAAUUUGCAACAUUUUUUUAAAAUUUUUUAGUAUUUUCUUUUUUAGUUUUAUUUUGUACCCAUGUAUUAAUUUCUUUUAGUGCCUAUAUUUUUAAAAAUUCAUUUGUAUUCAUAAUUUUUAAUCUUUUAUCUGUACCCUAAUUUAUUUUUAAUAUACCCAUUCUUCUUUAUUAAUGUACCACUUUGUUAUAUGUGAAAUGUACCAAUUUUUUUAACACUAUGGAUACAUUCUUUUGCCUUUUAUUAUUUCUUAUUUUUACAUAGUUUUUAUCCAUUUAUUCAAUCAAAAUGUUUGAAUUUUUUUAUUGUAACCGUUUCUAAUAAUAUUAUAAUGAAGGAUUUUAAAUAUAUAGGAUUAUAAAUCUCAUAAAAUAUUAAACAAUUAAUGUUAAAACUAUAAAAAUAUAAAUAUUAAUUGUAAUAUAAUGAGGUGUACAAAGUCAAGGGACCUUGAUCAAACUUUGAAUACUAUUAAUAUUUUAAUCAAAGAAUGUUAAAGAUUAGAGACCGCAUCCAAAAUAUCCGAAAAAAAUGUCUCGUAUCACAUACCUAAUAAAUCUUCUAUUGAUAAGGAGAGAUCUCACACACAAGAAUAUUGUCCUUCCCAAUAGCAAGCGCUGCAAAAGCACCUCACUAUUAGACAGCACCAUAGAUAGAAGUAGAACUAUUGAGUCAUUUGACAUUAGUGUCUUAGCUAGAGAGAGAGAGAGAGAGAGAGAGAACAUCCCUCACAAUCUCACAGUCGCUCCCCCACUUCUCUGAAAAAUCUCAAGAGAGAUUCAUACAUUGACAGUUCAAACGCCUCUCUUCAAUGUUGUCAUCAACAGGUAGUGACCAAACCAACUACAUCACAACCGGUACUUCAUCCAGGUCGUCCUCCUCAUCCCCAUCACCAGUUUCACAACCCUCCUCCUUCCAAACCCCACAAAGAACCAUGGAAGAGGUUUGGAAAGACAUCAAUCUCGCCUCUCUCACUGAAUCCACCACCCAAAUCAGAUCCUCCUCCUCCUCCUCACCGCUCCUUCACGUUAACCUCCCAAAUGGGACCCACCGCCGCCACCCAAACUGCAGAAAUAUGACCCUUCAAGACUUCCUUGCCAGACCCUUUGCCCAUGACUCACCAGCUGCGGCCACCGCCUUGGUAUCCUCCGCUGUCAGCCCUCCCUCUCCUCUUCCUCCAUCCUCCCUCAGGCCUCCGAGGUCCGGCUUCAUUGAUCAUCAUCAGCUAAACCCUAAUAACCUUUCUAGCAGUGUUUCUAACUCUUUCAGUGGUUGCCCAUUUGAGAGCUUGGCUGCUUCCUCCUCCGGCUUGCCUUCUUUUGGGAAUAGAUCGUUCACUGAAUCUGAUCACAGCAAUUCCGGUGGAGAUGGAAGACACAAGCGGAUGAUCAAGAACCGAGAGUCUGCUGCUCGAUCUAGGGCAAGAAAGCAGGCAUGUACCUCUCCUAUAUUCUUCCUAAUAAUCCCAUUUUUGUCAUUUGAUUAGUCUUUUGCUUUUUGCUUUUGGGUUAGGGUAGUAGUGGGGUGGGUAAAGUGUUCUUUUAUGAGUUGUAGGUUUUUGUACAGUUCCGUUUUAAUUUUGCUCCUUCACUCUAAGGGCAGUUUAAGUAAGUGUAAGUAUUAUAUAUAAGAAUCAGUCAACCUGAGAUUGAUGCUUUAUAACAUUACUGCUGCACUAGUGUGAGUUUAAUAUAUUGGUAUCGCAUUCAAAAUUUCCAAUGUAUUGAAAAAGUUAUAUAUAUGAGUAACAUAUUGGUAUCAAACUCAAAUUUUCCGGCAUACUGAAAGACCUAAUUAGCUUUAUUGUCCUGCCUUGGCGUCUUAGUUUUAUUGUCGAGAAUGUUACUAAAAUUUUUACUAAAAAUGUCUUUCGUUUUUUGUUUGUGGCCUGAUAUUUGGUUGGUCCAAACAGGCUUACACAAAUGAGUUGGAGCUAAAAGUUGCACUCUUGAUGGAAGAGAAUGCAAGGCUCAAAAGACAGCAAGAACAUGUGAGAACAUAAGACUGAAUAAAAUUCUAUUUCUAAAACAGUAAUUAUACAUGUAUUUCUGUGAUUUUGACUUCUGUUUGUUUGGUGGGAAAAUGUAUAUGCAGUUAAUUGCAGCAGCGUCUCAACAACCCAAAAGGCACAAUCUCAAUCGAACAUCAACAGCUCCAUUUUGAGAAAUCUCAGUGCCUUGCUUUUUUGUUUGAAUGUCUUCCUUUUCAGUUAAGACUUAAGAAUAGUAGUACUAGUACCCAUGUUGGGGGCAUCAAUAUUUUGUGGUAAUAUGAAGAUGGUGCAUGUACCUUUUCCGUAAGUAGAUGUUUUAGGGUUAGAAUAUUCUAACGAUGACGUUUUUUGUAUUUAUGUUAAAAGAAGUAAUUCCCCAUUAAGGAACUUAAUUUGGUGUGUACUCUUUUGCUUGCUUGUUUGUCUCUAUCUUUUUCUUCCCUUUUUUUGGAUUGAAACUUUUUUGCUCUCAUUAACUACAUUCAAAUUACAAUACAAGUCAUGAGGUCACAAAGGAAUGAUUAGGAGACCUUUAAUGGACUCUUUGUUACACUGUGUUUUUGACAUAAUAUUUUAUAAUAUUGAAUCGAGAAUUAACGUUAAACUGUGAGGUGACAGAUUCUAUGGAGAGUUUUAAUUUGAGUCUCCUUUGUAUUUCUUUUUUUUUUUUUGAGAGAAACACUGUCAUGCAAGGGCACAACACCUUCCACCAUUGUAAUAAAGAGCCACUUGCUAGUAUUUCUCUUCUAGGUAAUGUUAGGAAGACUAAAAAUUUUAAAUCAAAUUUACAGACCAAAUAAAUUGGUUGUUGAUGAUUGAAUUAUUACUUAAGUAUUGAUUAAUGUGUUUAUCUUUUAUUGACAAAACGUCAUUUGGUUUAAAAGUUUGAUUUGUCUAGCAUUAUCCUUCUCUUAAUAAAUAAUAAAAAUUUGACCAUAAAUCUAUUGUCACCAUGUAAUUAAGAAAACGAUUCCCAUAAUAUUCAUGUAGAAACUACAAAUAAAGAACACAAAUAAAAGUUUCUGCAAACAUAUGAAACUGUAGUUUUAUACGUAAAGAACCAAGUAUUUCUUUCAUGGAAUUAUUGAAGUGUUUAUAUCUAGGAUAAGCACAAGAAGGACAAUUAACAGGGUGCCAAGAAUCCGAAACUAAUUUGGGCCAAUUGCUUUUUACAACUUAUCGCUUUACUUAAUCGGAAUCGGAUAUUGUCCUGAGUUUGGGCUUAACAUUCUCCUGAUUGACACACUUUGAAUUUUGAUUCAACGGUUAUAAUUAUUAUAAUUUUUAAAAUGCCUUCCUGUUUGUAACCGUUGAAUUCUUGUGUGUCGAUUAGGAGGUUCUUGAGCUGCUCAGGAGAGGAGAGGAUCCAGUUUCAUCUUAAUCAAAGCCUAUGAGGCGGUUAUACAAAUUCUUUGUUUCUCACAAGAAGGACAAUUAAUGGUGGCUGCCAUGGAUGUCCUAUGCUGUCGGUUUCUAUUGGCAUCCUUGGUCAUUGAGUUACUUUGCCAAGCUGACAUGAUCCAAUAGGAAUAUAGGAUGACAUAAAAGAGCAUCAUUGACAUUGACAUUGCCAUUGUGGCUAAGUAAAUAAUGGAAAUGGAUCCUCGCCGGAUUUUUUUUCUGGGAAUCAUAAGGAUUUCGUGAUCGUGAUCGUUCAUCGUACAUCAUAUGGUCAAUUUUCAUUAGGUACUAUUUAUAUUUAAUUUUAAAUUUUAAAAUAAUUUAUGACCGCACGAUAUAUGAUAAACAGUUAUAAUCACGGAAUCCUUAGGAUCCCCAAGAAAAGGAAUCGGCAAGAAUCCUUUUCUAUAAAUAAUCAUUCCUGUUUUUUUGACAAUCCAUAAAAUAAUUAUACUAAGUUCAUUUAAAUUAUGUAAAUAGAGAUUUGAACUUUAUCUAAAAUAUCUAAUUUAUGGAAAGAAAGAUUUCAACUUGAGUGCAUAUAAUGUAGAGCACAUCUAAUUUAACUAAACUCAAGUCUACUAUAAAUAAUCGUAUGUUUAGUUUAAGUUAUAUCCUUAUAAAAAUCAAAUUUGGAUUUUGAGUUUCUUGUGCAUUUGAGAAACCCUAACCCUUCUGACAAAGAGAAACCCAACACAUAUUUGACCCAAAUUUGAGAUUUGAGUCCUAGCAUGGAUUUGUUCACAAGUGUUUCUUUAAUGUCUCAAAAUUGUUAAUCAUAUACGCCUUAUACGGUCUAGCUAUGUUCGUCUCCCUAUCAAGUAUUUCUUUAGUAGUCAUCUUUUUCAUGGCAAUUCACUUUUUCGAAGACUGUGAAGACUCAAAAAGACAUUUCAAAUUCUCUUCUGACCACUAUCGUGUGAUUCACAAACUUUAUGAAUUAAAGUAAAAAGUUUAGGUGUAAAAGUUACACUAUUAUUAAUUCACGUGUUAUAAAUUGUAUACAGUUGAAUGACAUGUCAAGGACAGAACCCUCGAUUUUUCAAUUAAUAAAUACAACAUGGAUGCAUGAUGAUUACAUCAAGAAAUUCGUGAUGUUUGUUAAACUGUGUACUUAAAUGCAGUCAGUGAGUUUGUAUAAUUAGUGUGCGGAGACUUGUACAUCUGAUCCGUUGUCGUCCAGCGGUUAGGAUAUCUGGCUUUCACCCAGGAGACCCGGGUUCGAUUCCCGGCAACGGAAAUUUUUUAUAAUUAUGUUCAAUAUUUUUCUGGGCUUUAAUUUGGGCUUUGUCUUCUUUUCCACCAAUUCAUUUCUGGGCUCUAAUUGGGCUUCAGAUAAUUUCUGUUCCUUUUUGGCCCUGAAUGUUUGAUUUCAAUUUUUUUUAUUAAAAUGUGAUAUUCUAAAAAAUAAUAGUUGCUCUAAAUUAUGGAGAUGGCGAUUUGAAAUCGGGUGCAAGGAAGCAGGGACUCUUUUUUUUAAUUUUAUUUCAUUUUUGUUAUGUGCCAACAUGCUGUUACUGUUUCAUUUUAUAAAGCGAUAUUAUAAACUGUUCUAAUUUAUCGAGACGGAGAUUCAAACUCUAAUAGUACGAAGAUAGGAAUUCGAAGUUGAGUACAAGGACAUUGCUCUGACCAAGUAGCCUAAAAUGUUGUUGAUUUGCUUUUGGCUCUCUGUCUUUUUUUUCUCUCACAAGGAUUCGGUGAGGAAGUGAAUAUUGUUUCUGUUUCAACUUCCACACAACUUUUAGAACCCAGAACUAUGAAAAGAAGAAAAAUAUAACAUAAUCUCCUCAGUGAGCAACUCCACCACCUGAGACUUGUCAACUCCUCCCACCGGAAACCGGCACAGAGGGCACGUCAUCCGGCACGCAUCGAACCACUUAUCCACACAUACCUUGUGAAACUCGUGCAGGCAAGGAAGAACUCUCAUGUCCUCUUCACCUUCCGACAAUCUUGACAAACACACACAACACACCUCAUCGUCCCUCAAACUGGAAAAUUCUUGAGAAACAAGCAAUCCCUCUUCCUCUACUUUCUUCCCAACAUCUGAUUCGAUUGCCUCACGAGCACACGGAGAUCCCUUAACUAACGCCGGAUGCUCUCUCGGGCCGAAGAAACUAGAGAUCAAAGCGAAUGCCCUCUUGAGAACCAUUUGGUUUAGUGAAGGAUUGGCGUUUGGGGAGGUGUUUAAUAGAGUUUGAAGUUGAAGGGAGAGUGUGAGAGUGAUGGGUCCUCAGUUGUUUUGCGUGGGUUGCAAGGGUUGUUAUAGCAAGGAAAGAUUUCCCAAGUUCCUUCUCAAAGUCAGUUGCACCUAAAGAGAGUGUUACUCUUGACCUUUCUUUAAUUUGAUUAAUCACAAUUAGAGUAAUAAUUGGGUUUCCUUUCUCCAGCAUAUUGCUUCAAUUGUAUUGCUUUAUAGUCAAAAUGUUCUAUAAGAUUGACCUAAUUCCUUACUUUGGCACCUGAAGUUUAAAUCGAUAGAAGUGGUUUUGGAGAUUGUUCACCAUUAAUCAUUUUGGUCUUCCCAUAAAAAUCUAUUAAAUUGAGGAUAUUUUUGUCAAAUCAACCUCUCCACUUUGUGGUUUCUUCAAUUUAAAGGAGAUUUUUCACAUAAGGACCAAAUGAUCAUGGACCAUUUCUGUUGAUUUCAAAUAUCAAGACCAAAGUGAGGAGUUAUGACAAUCUCAGAGACCAUUUUGGCUAAUAAGCCUUUUCUAUUGGUGUACAAGACCAGUUAUUGGUCACUGUUCGAUUCUUUUCACGUAAGAAGAAAUUUCUCCUUAUACGCGAAUCAUUGCACAACAAAUAUUAAAAAAUAACUCGUUAAAAUUAUAAAAGAUUUAUGCACGCCCGUCAUAUUGUGAUUUGUCUGUAAAGAAGAACUAUUCCUUUCACUUCUUCACUUUCUGUGACCCAUGAAAUGCCUGGGUCAAGCUACUUGCUGGUAGAAGGUGAAUUAAUGUCAAAACUUUGUGAAACUUAGAUAUCAAAAUACACCAUGGAUGACAUUCAUAGGGGACCUAACUCAUACCAGACUACUCGAUCAAGCGGUAACUUAAUCGACAAAAAUAAGGUAAAGCGGUAACUUUCACCGCCGCACAGUUUGAAGCAUGAUGUGUUUUUGCACAAACAUAGUAGAACGAGAUUGGCAUUACCAAGAGAAGCAUUUGGUAAGGCUUCAAAAUCCGGUGAGGGCCGUGACAGCGACCGUGAAGCAAGAAAACCAAACACAGCUCAGAAAAUGCGAGACCGGGAAUGUUCAAUGAAAAGCAAAAGCCAUCCAAAACCAUCUUAGACAAGAGAAACAACCUUUUCUCCAUUUAACAACGGCUUGAUGACAGGAAAAAAUGCACGCCAGACAUCGUUGUAACUUGUAAAAGUAUACGUCUGCAAAUGGAAGCGAUGAAUGAAUUUAUUCACCUCAACAGUAAAAUUUACGACAACUCUCAGUACAAUUGUUCAUCUCGGAAUAAAUGUCAGACAACUUCCCUAGCCGAGUUCAUCUCAGAUAAUGAAGCACAUAAUGAUUUGAACGGUACUGAGUAACAAGUCAUACAUGAAUUCUCAGGCAUUUCCUCACAAAUGGAUAAAAAUUGAAAUGCCGAUUUAAGAAUACUUGGUGAUGUGACCUUCCAUCUACCAAAAGCACGAAUAAAUCGGUUCAACAAAUGGCUUAAAAGAGAUUGUCAAGAGGAGGCAACCUACCAAAAAAAAUCGCAAUAAACCCCGCAACAGUGACUCGGGAACAAUACCACAAGUUUCACAAUUUGACCUAGCGACUGCCUAUUCAAUCCGCUUCGUGCUUGUCCGACGAUUCUGCAGAAUCUUCAGGUUUAACUGUAUCAUCCACCUCGAGUGUCUUGCCAUCUGUUGGUACUAAGCUCGGUAUGCCAUCCUUUAUCUAUCAAGUGAUGAAUACAAUAAGGAACCAUGUUAGACGUCAGCUAUACAGGACAAGAUAGAGUUUCACACAAUCAUUCACGUUCAGCUGAAUACAACCGUUAGACAAUGGCGAUGGCAUCACCAUUCAUUUAUCACACAGAGACCGGAGUGAUCUUUUAUUUUUCAAAUCAUUUCCAUGUUGGAUAAACUGAACAGGAAAAACCAAAUAUACAGAACAUCCUGCUGCCCAGGUAAUUCAUACUUCAGAAGAAGAAAAAACUAGCAACAACAACAACAAAACCUUAUCUCACUGAUUGGGGUCGGCUGUAUAAAUCUUAGAAUGGCACUGCGCUCAGUUUUGCGCCAAGUCUUCCGUUAGCUCCAAAUACACCAUGUCUUUUCUUAAAUCUCUUUUGAAACUAGAUUACGCAAAAUUGUAGCUAGGAUUUUUAACAUUCCCCAUGGAUUCCAUACACUUCAAAACUGAAGUAGAAGGAAUUAUACAAGAUACUAGCUAUACAGGCAAAAACAUAUAAAGAAGAUGAAAUUUUUGACAAUCGUUCAUGUUCUCGCUCUUCCACACGGGACUCCCGGAUUACUAUAACCGAAUUUCGUCUCUGUUCGGCCAGAAGGUCUCACACUUGUUCAAGUUUAUACUAUAACACUCAUCAGUAAAAUCUUAGCUCGAGCCUACCUCCGCACACCUCCGAGCCCAACACAAAACCUCUAUAAUAUACAAAGGGCAUCACAAAUUCUCACACAGAUAAUGGGGUAAAUCUCAUUUUUAAAAUUUUAACCAAUUCCAAACCAUUGAUGGUGUCCAAACCGUGUCUCAGGCGUGUCUGUGUGUCUGACACUCCGACAAAUCAGGGUUUUCAAGUGUCCAUGCAACAUAGCGUAUAUAUAAUAUGUUCUACCUAGAAAUUGAAAAUUCAGAGAAAAAUAGAAUUACCAAAAAAUUAAUUACUUGCCGCAUAAAACUUAGGAGUUUGGAACUCACAGAAAAGGAGACACCAAUCGCAUCACUAAUUAAGGAAUUUGUUUCCUCACAAAACCUAUAAACCCAAAAGCAAACUAAUUAAACCAACUAAAAUUACCAAAAAUUAAAUAAAUAAAACGGAGAUUAAAAAUAAUACUUAGAGAUUAAAGAAGAAACCUUAUAAAAUUGAGUAGCUUUACGCUUCCUCUCACCACUUCAUCUCUCUCUCUGUUUGGAUCUCUCUCGCGCUAUAAAAACGCCACCCCUUGUUGCUACGUCACCGUUUUAUAAAAUUGAGAACGAACAAUUGCAUAAAACCACCGCGUUUCGGUUCGAAUAAAUCUCAUUGCCUCCAAAAGAAGCUCUACGGAGCUACUGCACUUCAAACUACCAAGAGGGAUCUCAAUGUGCGUUAAUGGCGAAAACCAACUGGACCUCGAAUUCGGAACGAUUCGUUUGGUAGAUAUCUCGACUGAAUGGCAAGGGUUUGCACCCGAGAACUCUUUCGAUUCCGGAGCUCUAUUUCCCCACACCUCGCUUCCAACCCAUCAAAAUCCAAUCUUCCCUUACCAUCCUCCCCAUUUUCCUCCUCUUCGUUCGAGCCCUCUGUCAACCGCCACAUAUUUUCGCUUCUGGAUUCAUGUCAGAGCUUGAUCCAGAUUACCAAACUCCACGCCCAUUUGGUCACCCAGGGCCUUUUCGAUUCGUUUUGGGCCCGGAAUUUACUCAAGAGCUAUUACGAUUUCGGUGAUUUCGAUUAUAUUAUAUGGGUUUUCGGAUACAUUGACGCUCCAGGUAGAUUUUGCGUUAAUACAGUUAAUACGGCCGAGAUCUUCCCCCUCUUCCUCACCCUCAAUCCGGAAUCUUCCCCUUGAUCACGUCUGCAAGACAACUGUGGCAUGUUAGGCCACGUCCAGGUUGGGGGUGGGCAAAAGAUGAUGUUCGAACUUGGAAAAUCUGCUAGCUGCGAGACACGGCCAGAAUCCAAGCUGUACACUGCAAUAUCGCUUAACAUGCUUCUUAACUGAUGGAACUCGUAACUCUUGCUAUGAAGAGCCUCGUGAAAAUAAAUACAUCUCCCUUCCACUCCAGGGAAAUCUUGAGUAGAAAGAGAGUAGUAACCAUCAUCCCCUAUCACCAAUAUUCGAUCAUCCAGAGCUUGCGCCUCUAGCUUAACCCAGUGCUUCUCAUGAGCGUGAGCGUCCUGUAAGUUCUGAUAAGAGCUAUACACUUGGUUAGCACUUGUUAUUCACGUGGGAAUAUUCGAGAUCAUCAUUGACAAUGUUUGUGAGCUGAUAAGGAAUAUGUAUAUUAGGAUUCAUUAGCUUGAACACUCAUGAUAUUACUAGAAGUCUUUCUAGCUGAUAUGAAUAAGGGAAUUCAUGGUGAUAAGGUUAAGAUCAAUCAGGAUUACUCAAUGUGAAGAGUCCUAGUUCAUUACCACUGUGUAUGAUAUAUAUAUUAGGGUCCCUGCAUUCUCUCUAAACACUCAAGCUUACAGAAACUUAAACCCCAUUCUUGAGGCCUUGCAUACUAAAGAGGAGAGCUGUAGAAGAACUCUAAUCCCAAUGAGCAUGUCACUGUCUUCAGGUAAGUGGUUAACUUGGUAUUGUGAUAUAAUAUUCAGAGUUCAUAAUCAUAUUCAAUAUAUGUUUUACAUUUGGUAUCAGAGCUUUCACAUACCAACUAACCCUAAGGAAGAAAGUAUAAGGAAUUGUGUGAAUUUUCAGAUUAAGGUCUAAUGGUAUACUAUACAGGAAAUACAUAUAUUCGAACAUGGUAGCUAAAGCUAUUUGUACCAUGUAUGUUUUUUAUACAGCAUACGAAUUAGUAUUGACACCAUGGAUCAAAAUAUAAUCACUGAUCAUCUAAAGAUGUUUUAGUUGUUUAUGUAUUGAUUUCAUAGUGGUAUGAUAGUUCAUAUACCAAUAUACAAACCCAAUCACUUCUUGCAGCCACAAAGGUUUGUAAUUAUGGUUAUAGAAAAUCGUAUGUUGGAUGUGAAAGUGUCAUGAUCAAGAAAAUUUUCAUACAACUUUUAAUCCGAAGGUUCUUGAGUUUGUGAUAUAAAGUUUGAGGAUUAAAGUUUAAUAUAGUUCAUGUUACAUGAUUGUAUAGCCAUGAACCCUAACUCCAUGAACUUGAAUACUGUUGAACCACUCAUUGGGGUCAAAUAUAAGAAAUGGAAACAAGACUUGAGAUAGUUUUGGGUGUUAUGGAUAUGGACCUGACACUAAGAACUAAGGAACCCCCACUGCCUACCGAUGGAAACACUUCUAGUCAAAGAUCGAAAUAUGAGAAGUGGGAGAAAUCCAACAGAAUCUCACUGAUGAUAAUCAAGAGAACCAUGACAUAUGAUGUUCGUGGAGGUUUUCCAAAGGGAACCAACGCCAAGAAGUUUAUGGAAUCCAUUGAAGAAAAGGACAAAGAAUCCGAGAAGACAGAAACAUGCAAUCUAAUGAAUUCACUCACUAAAAUAAGGUAUGACGGUGAAGGGAGUGUGCAUGAAUAUAUCCUCAGAGUGAUCGAUAUUGCUGGAAAACUCAAGAACCUAGAGGUACCAAUUUCUGAAACCUUCCUUGUUCAUGUCAUCAUGAACUUGCAGCCAGAUUCCUACUCAAUUGAAGGUAUCUUACAAUGCUUUGCAAUCUAAGUGGGAUGGGCUUGGAUUGUAGUUUCUUCUUCUCCAUGUUGCUCAGGUUCUACCAUUGUCAAAUCUUGAUUAAUAACUUCAUUUGCAGUUGUGGGCCCUUCCACUUCAUCAAUUUGCCUUUGUUGCAAGUCAUUUGUAGCUUCUUCGACAUCUUUAUUUGCAUGCCCAGGUAUCUCAAUAUAAGGCAUUGGAGCUGACGUUGCAAUUGCAUGUUCCACUUCAUUCUCUUCUUCAAAGAUAAAAUCAUCAUCAUUAUUCCCACUAUCUUGUUCCAAGUUAUUCUCUAUGAACACAGCUUUCCUUGUUUCUACAAUUCUAGUAUCCUGAUUGUUAGGGCAAUAAAAUCUGAACCUUGUUUAUCUGUCUGCUUAACCAAUGAAAAAAUAAAUGAUAGUUUUAGGAUCAAGUUUUCUUCCAUUGGGAUUAUAUGCCUUGGCUUCAGCCGCACACCCCCAAAUGUGUAAAUGGUUUAGGCUAGGUGUUCUAGUAGUCCACAAUUCAAAUGGUGUAGACUCAACAACUUUUGAAGGGACUCUAUUAAGCAAAUAAUUGGCAGUUUUCACUGCCGCUCCCCACAAAGUCUUAGGCAAAUUCACCCUACAAAUCAUACUUCUCACCAUGUCUAUUAGGGUUCUAUUUCUCCUCUCUGCAACCCCAUUUUGCUCGGGUGUGCCUGGGGUGGUAUAUUGAGCUACGAUUCCAUGUUCUUGAAAAUAUAAAGCAAAGGAUCCAGGAUGUCUACCAGUUUGUGCAUAUCUUUCAUAAUAUUCCCCACCUUUAUUAGACCUAACAAUCUUAAUUUUUCUUUCCAGUUGAUUUCCCACUUCCUUUUUGUGAAUUUUGAAAACUUCUAAAGCUUUAGAUUUUUCAGAAAUUAAGGUAUAGGUAACAAUAUCUUGAAAAAUCAUCAAUAAAGGUUAUAAAAUACUUGUAUCCUUCAAUUGUUUGUGUAGGGAAAGGACCACAAAUGUCUGUAUGGAUUGUUUCCUUAACCCAGUGCUUCUCAUGAGCGUGAGCAUCCUGUAAGUUUUGAUAAGAGCUAUACACUUGGUUAGCACUUGUUAUUCACAUGGGAAUAUUUGAGAUCAUCAUUGACAAUGUUUGUGAGCUGAUAAGGAACAUGUAUAUUGGGAUUCAUUAGCUUGAACACUCAUGAUAUUACUAGAAGAUCUUUCUAGCAGAUAUGAAUAUGGGAAUUCAUGGUGAUGAGGUUAAGAUCAAUCAGGAUUACUCAAUGGGAAGAGUCCUAGUUCAUUACCAUUGUGUAUGGUAUAUAUAUUAGGGUCCCUGCACUCUCUCUAAACACACAAGCUUAUAGAAACUCAAACCCCAUUCUUGAGGCCUUGCAUACUGAAGAGGAGAGUUGCAUAAGAACUCUAAUCCCAACUAGCAUGUCAUCGUCUUCAGGUAAGUGGUUAACUUGGUAUUGUGAUAUAAUAUUCAGAGUUCAUAAUCAUAUUCAAUAUAUGUUUUACACGUCCAGCUUAAAAAUCUCGAAUGUAAAGUCUGACGGUUUUCCCUUCAAAUACAUAUCAACUAAAAACAGCUCUCCCAACGACUCCACCAACUUCUUCUUCUUCUUGUCGUCAAGGCAAGAGAUAUUUGGUAAUGGAGAUGCAAUCAUUUCCGUAUUCAAACAAGAAUCAACUGCCACCGCUUUCCCGUCACGGCACACAGCACAAAACCUUACUUUGUAGAAAAUGACAUCUUGAAAAUCACGGUAUUCGUCAUCCAACUUCAAAAGGAAGUUGGUGCAGUCUACAACGUCAGCUCCUAGCUCUCCGCAACAUAACGUUUCGAACAGAUCAAUUGCCAUGAAAGCAGGGAAAUCGAGAUUCAAGGAUGCAGCCACCUUAAAAUCACGACGCAUCUCCCCACCAUAGUCUACAUUCUUGCCACUUCAAAUACCCGAAAUUCCAAUAAGUUGAAUUGUAAGAGUAAACACAGGUUUUAUUUUAAUAUACUAGCCAAGUACACAAGAAUUAACCUACUAAAUCACAACCGUUGCUUCAAGUAUGUUCUAUAAAUACAAAUACUGAAGUAUUCUCAACAAUACAUACCUGCAGACAUGUUCAUGGAUGAAGAAGCCAUGGACGAAUCUACACACAACCUUCACCUCUCUGCAAACUCAAUGCUCUCCAAGUUAUAGGUAAUUGGAACAAUAAUAGCGUAAUCUUUGUGAGAGCAAAGGCUUGUGGUUUUAUACUACAAGACCUGCCCUAUAACAAUCCUACAAGGAAUACAAGACUAAAUCCUUGUACAAGUAUGAGUUCUAUUCUCGAGCCAACAAUAGAGUUUCCAUAAAAACUAAAGUUGAAUUAACUUUUAUAAACACAUUAAGACUUCUUUAUACCAAUCUGAAAUAACAAGGAUUAUUUACUAAACUGUGUGAAUCACACUCAUACUCUAACAUUCUCCCACUUGAGUAUGAUUCACUACAAUAAAUAAUCAUCUUAGAUUAAUAUAAAGGUGAUCACACAAGUCUUAUAUCAAUGUUCCUCAAUAUAAACACAACACUGCUUUCAUGUCUCAAAAAAAUGAAUUCACAAUCUUCUCUGCAAUACAAUGUGCAGAAUCAUCUUAUAAAUCACAAAGUUAUUCAUGUUCGCAGCAAUGUGACACAGUUCAUGAGCAAACUAAAAGUUUACUCACACUCAUAUUGCCAAAAUACAACAAAGUUCAUAGUUAUUCUUUAACCAAUAUGAAUAACUAAAUAUAAUUCAUCCAAUAGCUUUAUCAAAAUUCGAAAAUAUUGACUCAAGAGCUUAUAUUGAAUUAUCAAAAUGUUUUCUUUGAACAACUAAUCACAGAUUUAUUUGGAAAGGUUGAACUAAAUGAAAACCUUAUUCCACAGCUAUCUUCAAGAAGUGUGAUAGGCUCUCAAGAAUAACUUCAACUACUCCCACUUAUCAAAAGCAUCCAAAUGAAUUUAAUGGCCGGCUUAAAUACUCUUAGCCUUAUACUUACAUUCAAAUAUAUGAUUAUUUCUCCCACUUAAGCAUAAGUAGAAAGUACUACACAACCAAUAAAGAAACCAGAGAUAUGAGCCAAUUGUUUCCUGAUUCCUCACCAAUUGCAUAAUCUCAGUUUAAUCAUGUACACCUAAACCAUUAUGCAAACAGUUAUGUAUCAAAAGAUAGUCUCAAUCCAUUCGGAAAAACUUAUCUCACAUAAACCCAAAAUCACAAGUUUCAACAAUGGUCAAAAUCAGAAUAGCAAGCACAAUAUUUUUACAUUCGAUUUUAUCCAAACUAAUUCAAUAUCCAUCGAGCAAGAUCAACUAAAAUUUGAUAAUGUCUGGACAUAAAAGCACAAGUCAUCUAAAUUAAAACGAGAUAAUCAAGAUCUCAAUAUGAUUUACAUGUAAUAAUUCUUUAACGAGAUUGACAUGUAUCAUAAUUCAAUCUAGUCCAGAAAUAAAUUGAAAAAAAAUACUAAAUGACGCUUCAAAAUCUCAAACAAUUCCAUUCAAUAGAAAACCCAUAAUUUGUCAAAAUUACAAAAUUAGUAUCUUAGGAACUUUGAGAUCGCAUCAGAUGUGAAUAAAAGGAUACAUACCAAUUAAACAACAAAUUUUCAUUAAAAGCAGCAGAAGCAAACGAGAAACGAAAAUUCCAGACCAAAUCUUGUGAAUUAUUAUCAAGUGAGAUGAGUUCCACUAUCAUAGCGAAAUAGAAUGCAUUCUUGCCGACAGGGCUUCACCAAACAAUUUAUAUUAUUCCAUACAAGGUAUAAAUACAAGAGCUUUCACAUGUUUUCGAUUAUACACUGUGAAUGAUAUAAUAUGCCAACCACAAAUCAUGUGCCCAAAAUAAUGCAUAAGUCGCGUACUCUAAAAAUGCAUAUAUAUAUAUACAGGGAACUAUUAAUAGCACUAAAAAAAUCUCAUUUUACACUCCUCACAAGUGUAUUUUUCUUUCUAAUUAUAGAAAGUUUGGAGUGCCAAAUGAGAUUGGCACUCCAAACUUUCUAUAAUUAGAAAGAAAAAUAAUAAUGAGAAGGAAAUCACGACUAUUCGAAAAGCUCAACUUUAUAGCCGCAAAAAUUCACUUGUGACAAACAAUAAAACAUACCAUAAUUUUAUGAGAACUUUCAUGAAAAGGGUUUGGACUAAGUUUAUCUUAAUAAAAAAAAUCAUGAUAUAACUUUAUUUAAUAAAAAAGACUUAAAUUUUAAUGAAAAACUUUUAAAUUUUAAUAAAAAUGACAAAAAAAACUUAAAUUUAAUGAAAAAGACCUAAUUUAAUAUUUAAAAAAAAACUGACGCGUGGACCUGCACACCCCUCACAGAAACUAUUUAUGAAACUUACUACACUGUUUAUGAAACUUAAUGGUACGACACUGUUUAUGAAACUUAACGAUGUUACACUGUUUAUGAAACUUAAUGAUAGAUGCUCGUCCCAAAUUUUCAAGUUCUUUCAUCAGAAUGCAAUAAAAAGAUUUAAAAAAAAAAAACACGAUAGAGAUCAACAUCUAUGCCGUUAAAGUCAUGCAUGGCUAAUAGUUCAAUACAAUUACUAGAAAAAUGGGUGAUGACUUCAACGAUGUUAUCAAUGAUGUUGCCCCACCCCUACCCCUAACCAUCCCAACCCACACAUGAUCGACUCCCUCCCAACCAUACUACCCUAGAUGUGGUUAUAAAUCGAACGUAACCCACUUCAAUUUGAAAUUUUAAUUUUAGAGCAAUAAAAUAUGGGGUUAAUCUCUGUUUACUACCCUAAAGUUUCGUGGUUUUCAACAUUUGGUACAUGAAGUUUUUUUCAUCCUAGAGUCAUACCUCAAGUCUUAAUUUGGGACAGUUUCAUACUUAUGUUAAUCAAACUGUUAAGUCUGCCGUUAACUGAUGACAUGGCACCCAUGUGGACAAUGACUGAGCGCCACAUGCCAUCCAUGUGGAAAUUAAAAAUAAAUUAUUUAUAAAAUAAAAUAAAAUAAUUAAUUUAUUAAAAAAAAAAACCCUUCUUCCCCAAAUCCCACCCGUGCCCACCCUCCCACCCACCCCUUCAUCUUCCCCAAACCCCACCUGUGCCCACCCUCCCUUCUCUUCCUCCGCACCCAGUGCUAUCCCUCCCUCUUCGACUUUGCACAUCCACCCUCUUCCUCUUCCUCCUCCCUCCUGCGCACCCAAUGCUUCCCCUCCCCCUUCGACUCCUGCACUUCCACUAUCUUCUCACCAUCACAAAACUAUAAAAAAAACCACAUCCCAAACCAUCAAAAAUUAGAAACCCACGAAAUUCAACAUCAUCAAAUUCAAAAAUUGAAAACCGAUGGUGAAAAAUCUGGUGUGGGUCAACCCAGAUCUGGGUUUGGUGUUGGAUCGCAAUGGGUUCACUCCCCUGCAUCUGGGUGUGAUCAAGGAGUGAGCUGCAGUUGUGGCCGAGUCAGAUCGACGGCGACUCAGAUUUUGACUUAGGGAGGCGAGGGUGGGUUGCACUUGUGUGUGAAGCAUCACAGGCUGAAGGUGUUAAAGGUUUUGGUGGAAUGUACAGAGAUAGGAAAUUGAAGAUGGGUGUGCGGAGUGGGUGUGCAGAGGAGAGAAAGGGAGGGAGGGGAUUGGGGGUUGAGGUAGGAGUGGUGCGAGAGAAAGAGUGUUGGAGGGUGGGAGAAGGGGUGGAUGUGCAGAGUCGAAGAGGGAGGGAGAGCACUGGGUGCAGAGGAAGAGAAGGGAGGGUGGGCACAUGUAGGAUUUAGGGAAGAAGGGUUUUUUUUUAAUUUUAUUUAAAUACAUAAAUUAUUUUUAAUUUCCAUGUGGAUGACACUGACACCCAAUCAUUGUCCACAUGGGCGCCACAUCAUCAGUUAACGGCAGACUUAACAGUUUGACUAAUAUAGGUAUAAACUGUCCCAAAUUUAAGAUUUGAGGUAUGAUUCUGGGAUGAAAAAAACUUCAUGUACCAAAUGUUGAAAACCAUGAAACUUUAGGGUAGCAAACAAAUAUUAACCCUAAAAUAUGCUUGGAUUAUGCAACUGAAGGAUUGGUUGGAUGCUCUUUGCACGCGCCUUUAGUUAGGUUUUUUUUUUCUUUCUCUUGUCUUUAUCAUUAAAUAAAGUUAUAUGAUGAUUUUUGGUUAAAACUCAAAGUUUUGAAACUAUUUUCAUUAGUUUUCUUAAAUAAUUAAUCUUUGGAUUUAUCUUGAUUGAUUAAUCAAAUAUAAUAGUUAAAUACUUUACGAUAUUAUGAAGAUAUUUGAGAAGAGAAAUACUAAAUAAACUUUCUUAAAAGUGAGACCCUCUGUAGACUCUAUGCACUUCAUGUUUGUCUGCACAAUAUUUUAUAAUAUUAGCAUGAAAAAUUAACGUUAACUUAAGUGAUAGAGAGUCCAUGAAGAGUUUCACUUUGAAAAAAGUCUCCUUAACUUCUCAUAUAAGAAUAUGGAAUGAACUUGGUCAAAUAAGACUGAACUUCUUGUUUAAUAAAUAAAUAGACACUCGUUUAGACAUGGCCUGACAUGCCAGAGUUGUCUUGCUGAUUUUCCGAGUUCGAACAUCAUCUUUUGCCCACCCCCAACCUGGACGUGGCCUAACAUGCAUGCCAGAGUUGUCUUGCAGAACUGAUCAAGGGGAAGAUUCCGGAUUGAGGGCGAGGAAGAGGAGGAAGAUCAUGGCCGUCGUGAGAUGCAGCAAUGGGCAUUGAACUUAGUUCUCGCGAUCGGUGGUGUCUCUUUUACAUACUAUGUAUUCUGUUGUAGCUGGAUUGAUCUCAGACUCGAUGACUUCUUAUUUGAACUUUGUAGCAGUUUUUGCAAAUUAUACAUUUCACUGUCUUGCGUUUUCCGUUUCCGAGUUGGAGUCUAUGACGAUCGAUUACCGAAAAAUAUGAAGAAAAACGAACUAGAAAUUGAGAUCUCAGCAGAGAAAAGGUUGCUGCUACUGCAUAAUAAUUUCAUUAAUUCAUUUCAUCGCAUUACACCUCACAAAUAUAAGACACAGCCGUUGCAAACAUCUAAUGAGAAUUGGAAUUAACCGACUCCUUUAUUUUUGUAUCUCAUCUUGUGAGGAUAAAUUUUUUAUUGUGCACACGUGUCAUUAUAUAGAGGAAAAUUUUAUUUUUCAAGUUAUUAAUUUCUUAAUACAAGUAUCUCACUAUUUGUAUAGUAACAUAUGGCAUACCAUUCCAUGUUCAGAGACACUGAAAAAUCUCUCGAAGUAAACGAAUCCUCUUGAGAAUUUGAAACAUUUCAUUUUUGUAGAUAAUUAAUCAAUUAUAAAACUUCAUUUUAAUCCUUGUAAAAGUUAAGGAGUACAAUUACAAUUUAUGUCUAACUAAUUUUCUAUUUGUCUAACAUGGUGAUGAUGAAGAUACCAUCAAAUUAAACCACGUUUUGUUGCCCGCAUAAUGUGACAGUUGAUGAUUGAAAGAUAAAUUUCCAAACAACUCCUGCAUGGCACUCAGAAUCAGAGAGGGGCAACAUUACUCCAGUUGAAACUGAUAGUUUGAUGAUACAGAAAGGUGAACAUCUUUCGGGUACCCUUUGUAAGGAUACUCUUGGGAUGUCCACGCAUGGUCCAACACAUGUGAUAUGGUAUGCAAUUUGCCGCUCUUCAAUUAACUCAUGCACCCUACCAUCAAAGUAAAAUAGUCAAGUUGUACUGUUAUUGAUUGAUUUUAUUUCGUUUUGCAGGAAAGAAUGUGGUCCAGAUGCAGCCUGCAAAUUUUUGGGCAAUGCCCAGUUACUUGUGCACUAUUGGUUUUUGCAUAAUGCCUAUUCGAUUGGAAUUGGAGAUACGAUUGUUGAUCCGGCAACAACGGAAAAAAUCAAGCAGACAAUUUCUGAGGCAAAAGAUGAGUUGGGAGGGCUUAUUAGUAUAAUAGCCCGGUCCAAGCAGCUGGAGGCUGAACCUGGACGAACUUUGGUGGACUCAUUUGAAAACAAAGUGAACCAGGUGCGUUAAUUGAUUGUCUACAAUUUAUUCUUGUUUAGCUUCCAACUGUUAGUAAUGUGUCCAUUUAGUUAGCUUUGCUGUUAGGAGUCUGUUAAUUUUGUUACAGAGAAGAUGUUAGUAUAAAUAUCAAACAAAAGUGCAACUAUUGAUCAAUCAAUGAAAAUUGAAUUUCAGUUUUCGUCUCUCUCUAGAUUUUUCAAUAACCAAACACCAUUGUUUCUUUAAAUUUCAUCAUCUACUUAUGUAUUUGAUUUGGGUCAGGUGUUGAAUAGGGCUCGUGAUAAUGAUAAAGUUGGAAGUAGUGCUGAAAAGAGUCUAUCCGAGAUGAACAAUCUUAAGGCCAUGGUUACAACUGGAUCCAAAGAGAAUUUUAUAAAAAUGUCACAGAUGAUUGCUUGUGUAGGGCACCAGAACAUUGAAGGUAAGAGAACCAUGUAUGGGUUGAUAAACCACCUGCCAUUGCCCCACUUUACUGAAGAUGACUAUGGACCAGAAUGUCGUGGGUUCGUAAAGAAUUCAUACUUGCACGGUCAAACUCCAUAGGAGUUUUUUUUUUCAUGCCAUGGAUAGUAGGGAAGGUCUCAUAGAUAUUGUAGUUAAAACAUAUGAGACUGGGUACAUCCAAAGGAGACUGGUGCAUGCUUUGGAGGACAUUAUGGUGUAGUACGUAAUUCUUUGGGCAAUGUCAUUUAGUUUGUAUAUGGAAAAGAUGGGAUGGAUGCUGCUUGGUUAGAAUCUCAAAAGUUGGACAUUUUAAAAAUGAAAAAAAUAAGAAUUUGAAAAGACUUUUGCAUAUGAUUUGGAAGAUGAAGAUUGGAAUCCCGAUUACAUGCUGCGUGAACAUACGUAGGAUCUCAGAACUAUUAGAGAGUGUUGCGAUGCAGAAGUUAAAAGACAGAUCACAACUUGGCAGAGAGAUUGGAGGCACAUAUGGUAAUUCCUGGCUGCUUUCUGUUAACUUGAAGAGGCUUAUUUGGAACACCUAAAAAACCUUUAAGAUUGGCUUCAGAUAUGCACCUGAAGGAAAGUGUGGAAGCUAUUGAUAAGCUGCAAGGGAGGCUGAAGGUUGUUUCUUGCGAUGACACGCUCAGAAUAAUGCUACACUGUUUUUCAGCAUUUUCCUUUGUAACACCUUGGCUAGCAAAAGGGUGUUGGAUAAGUAUCAGCUGACACGUGAAGCAUUGUGGGUUAUUAAUCAGAUAGAGUUUUGCUUCCGGCAGUCACUUGUAGAACCAAGGAAAAUGGUCGGACUAGCUACUACACAAUCUAUUGGUAAGUCUUCCACUUGUAUGGAACUCAGUACUUUCCACUCUACUAGGGCGAUUGAAGUUUCUAGGCAGCUCAUCGGUUAAUGCUGGAUGCAGGGUAUGCUUUCUUAUGAUGGGUUGAAGGUGAGUUAUAGACACUUGGCCAUCCUUUGUGACGCGAUGACAUGGAGUGGCUUCAUAAGACCUAUCGGCAAGGAAGACAAGAGACGGCCUCCUCUUGUACGAUUGUUUGUGGAGUACACGAUAGAUAAUGUCAUCCACACUGCGGCAUAUGCAAAGACAUAUUACAUAAGAGGUGUAAGGGAAAGCAUAACGUUAAGGGCAUCUUGCUCCCACUCCCAGGUGAUUUUCCUUUUUUUUUUAAGCCGCAACUUGUUGCUCUUACCAACUGAUUUGGUUAUUGAUAUUGAAUUAUUGUGUGUAUUCUACUUCUAUUGCAAGUUUGUCAUGUUGUGCUUGAACUGAAGUUAGAUAAAAUAGUGUAUCCUUUAUAGACGUUUACUUGUUCAAGUUGAGAUUAAGUUUGUGCUAGUAAGGGAAUGUGCCUCUUUCUGUAGCAUCUACGUUGGUGUAAAUUGCCCAAGCUUUUGCAGAAACUAGAGUAAUUUGAUAUGUUGGUUUUCAUUGUUUCGGUGGGUGGCUAAUUGCCCAAGGCUUACAUUGACUAUGUGUCUCUAAUAAGGUGCUAUUGGUAAUGACAAGCUGCAAACUGAACAUCAGUAGGCUUCUGGACCUGACAUGCGAGACUUUGGCAGAUAUGAUCACGAGCAAGACACCGGAUAUCAGAAAGACCUUCAACGAUCAACAUCAAGAACGACUACUUCACCCCAAAGGAAGAGGAGGCAGAUCGUCGGGGAACCAAUGAAGUGGGAGUUUGUUUGAAUGAACUUCUCAAGGAUGCGUUUAUCGGAGUCGUCAAGUCUGUCAUGUUUACUAUUUCUGAAUCAAAUAUUAUGCUUCGAUUAAUUCAAGAGCUCAACCACCUCAAUUCAAUCAGUACAUGUUUAUAGCUACAACAACAACAAAGCAUUUUCCCACUAAGUGGGGUUAAAUGUUUAUAGCUAAAUGAGGAAAAAAAAAUAUCACUUCCUUUCUAUAACAUCACAAGCAAAUAAAUGCAACUUUCAAAUAUUGAUAAUUUUUAACUUCUGAAAACGAUGCUUCAAAAUGGUGUGUAAAAAACAAGUACCGAUUGAAUUGAGGUGGUUGAGCUCUUGAAUUAAUGGAAGUAUAAUAUUUGAUUCAUAAAUAGUAAACAUGACAGACUUGACAACUCCGAUAAACGCAUAAUUGAGAAGUUUAUUCAAACAAACUCUCACUCCACUGGUUUGCCCGACGAUUUACCUCCUCCUCCUCUAGGGUGAAGUAGUCAUUCUUGAUGUUGAUCGUUGAAGGUCCUUCUGAUAUCCGGUGUCUUCCUUGUGAUCAUAUCUGCCAGAAUCUUGCAUGUCAGGUCCAGAAGCCUACUGAUGUUCAGUUUGCAGCCUGUCAUUACCAAUAACACCUUAAUAGAGACACAUAAUCAAUGUAAGCCUUGGGCAAUUAGCCACCCACCGAAACAAUGAAAAUCAACAUACCAAAUUACUCUAGUUUUUGCAAAAGCUUGGGCAAUCUACAAAUUUACACCAACGCAGAUGCUGCAGAAAGAGGCAUAUUCCCUUACUAGCAAACUUAAUCUCAACUUGAACAAGAAAACAAGUAAACGUCGAAGGCAACAAUAUAAAGGAUACGCUCUUUUAUCUCAACUUCAGUUCAAACACAAGCACAACAUGACAACCUUGCAGUUGAAGCAGAAUACGCACAAUAAUUCAAUAUCAACCCAACGACAUCAACAACCAAAUCAAUUGAUUCAAAUCAAUUGCUAAGAACAAGAAGUUGCGGCUUAAAAAAAAAGAAAAUCACCUGGGAGUGGGAGCAAGCUUCCGUAACAUUGUACUUUCCCUUACACCUCUUAUGUAAUCUGUCUCUGUGUAUGCCGUAGCGUGGAUGACAUUAUCUAUCGUGUUCUCCACAGAUAAUCGCACAAGUGGAGGCCGUCUCUUGUCUUCCUUGCCGAUAGGUCUCACAAAGCCACUCCAUGUCAUCACGUCACAAAGGAUGGCCAAGUGUCUAUAACUCACCUUCUACCCAUCAUAAGAUAGCAUACCCUGCAGCUCAUCUAGCAUUAACCGACAAGCUGCCUCGAUUCCUAGAACCCUAGAAACUUUAAUCGCCCUAGUAGAGUGGAAAGUACUGAGUUCCAUACAAGUGGAAGACUUGCUAAUAGAUUGUGCAGCAGCUAGUUCGACCAUUUUCCCUGGUUCUACAAGUGACUGCCGGAAGCACAACUCUAUGUGAUUAAUAACCCACCCAAAUGAUUCACGUGUUAGCCAAUACUCAUCCAACACCCUUUUGCUAGCCAACGUGUUGCGAAGGAAAAUGUUGAAAAACAGUGUAGCAUUAUUUUGAGCUUCAACACUGAAUGUGUCAUCGCCGGGAAUAACCUUCAACCUCCCCUGCAGCUUAUCAAUAGCUUCCACAAUUUCCUUCGGGUGCAUAUCUAAAGCUCUUCGUAAGUCAAUCUUAAAGGUUUUUUGGGCGUUCCACAUAAUCCUCUUCAAGUUAACAGGAAGCAGCUAGGAAUUACCAUAUAUGCCUCCAAUCUCUCUGCCAAGUUGUGAUUUGUCUGUUUCAAGUCUUUUAACUUCUGCUUCGACAACAUCGUGACAUUCUCUAAUAGUUCUGAGAUCCUGCACAUGUUCACGCAACAUGUAAUCCGGAUACCAAUCUUCAUCUUCCAAAUCAUAUGCAAAAGUCUUUUCAAAUUCUUAUUUUUUUCAUUUUUAAAGAGUCCAGCUUUUGAGAUUCUAACCAAGCAGCAUCCAUCCUAUCUUCUCCAUAUACAAACUGAAUGACAUCACCCAAAGAAUUACAUAUGGUGCCAUCAUACUGCACCAUAAUAUCCUCCAAAGCAUGCACUAGUCUCCUUUGGAUGUACCCAAUCUCAUAUGUCGUAACUACAGUAUCUGUGAGACCUUUCCUACUAUCCAUGGCAUGAAAAAGAACUCCUGUAGAGUUAGACCGUGCAAGUAUGAAUUCUUUACGAACCCACGGCAUUCUGGUCCAUAGUCAUCUUCAGUAAGGUGGGGCAAUGGGGGGUGGUCUAUCAACCCAUACGGGGUUCUCUUACCUUCAAUGUUCAGCUGCCCUACACAGGCAAUCAUAUGUGACAUUUUUAUAAAAUUCCUUUUGGAUCCAGCUGUAACCAUGGCCUUAAGAUUGUUCACCUCGGAUAGACUCUUUUCAGCACUACUUCCAGCUUUAUCACGAGCCCUAUUCAACACCUGACCCAAAUCAAAUAUAUAUUAUUACUCUGUAGUAGAUGAUGGAAUUUAAAGAAACAAUGGUGUUUGGUCACUGAAAAAUCUAGAGAGAGAAAGACUAACGAAAACUGAAAUUCUAUUUUCAUUGAUUGAUCAACAGUUGCACUCUGUUUUGAUAUUUAUACUAACAUCUUCUCAUCUUCUCAUCUUCUCUGUAACAAAACUAACAGACUCCUAACAACAAAGCUAACUAAAUGGAUAGCUGCCAUUUUGAUUUCCCAUGAUCAGAUUCAUAAACAUUGCUGCGAACCCACUUUACUUGCUGACCAGAUACAUUACUAACAGUAGGAAGCUAAACAAGAAUAAAUUGCAGACAAUCCAUUAAUGCACCUGGUUCACUUUGUUUUCAAACGAGUCCACCAAAGUUCGUCCAGGUUCAGCCUCCAGCUGCUUGGACCGGGCUUUACUAACAAGCCCUUCCACCUCAUCUUUUGCCUCAGAAAUUGUCUGCUUGAUUUUUUCCGUUGUUGCCAGAUCAACAACCAUAUCUCCAAUUCCAAUCGAAAAGGCAUUAUGCAAAAACCAAUAGUGCGCAAGCAACUGGGCAUUGCCCAAAAAUUUGCAGGCUGCAUCUGGACCAUUCUUUCCUGCAAAACGAAAUAAAACCAAUCAAUAACAGUACAACUUGACUUUCACUUUGAUGGUUGAAUAGCGGCAAAUUGCAUACCAUAUCACAUGUGUUAGACCAUGCGUGGACAUCCCAAGAGUAUCCUUACAAAGGGUACCCGAAAGAUGUUCACCUUUCUGUAUCAUCACCAAACUAUCAGUUUCAACCGGAGUAAUGUUACCCCUCUAUGAUUCUGAGUGCCAUGCAGGUGUUUGGAAAUUUAUCUGUUUUGGUACGAUGAGACCAAACACUUGUUUCCCGGUCCAGAUGGGUCGGGGAUUCAAAAUUGCAGGAGCAGGAACUUCACCAACAAAUCCUCCAGCCACAUCAACAUGGUAAGGGGAAAAGAAAAAGUAAAUAAAUGAAGGUUAUGUCACCGUCACCUUCUCAAUGAAGGUGCCCAUCUUGCUGAUCUUACAACAACCUAAUAGGGAAUCUUUGGAAAGUCCCACUUCAAGCCGAUUUGACUGAGGGGAAAACAUGCAUUUGGGCACCAUCACGCAUUCUAGCACUUCCGUCCUUGUUUCUAAUGACUGAGGAACAUGCAUCCUCAUAGGAUCCCCGCCAAAAUCAGCUGAAGUGAUGGACGGAUUCAACCGAAAAGUUGAACCUGGCACGACCUUGACUCUAUGCCCCAUAAUAGACAUUUUAUGGAGACUACGCUGACGGUUCAAGACGACAAUGUCCCCAUCCUUCAAAUGGCGCUCCACCUGCACCCACAAUAGUAAACGUUCAGAAGUGAUGGUUAAAGAUAAAAGACACGAACCAAAACUUAUCAGAACAAUAGAGCAAUGCCUUGUCUCCAUGCUUUAAAGGCCAUUCAAUCCUGUUCUUCUUCAAGAUUCCAACGUCAAAUCUUUUUCCAUCAACUGUUAUUAUAGACCUAGCAGCUCUCGUUUCACCACAAGGAGGUUUCUCCCCAAAGAAAAACUCAUUCAACCUGUUUUUUAGUGAUGAAAGUGGCGUUGAUAUAAACUCAAAACGAAAUAAAAUAAAAACAAAAGAAGAGGAAACUUUAAAUGCAGAGAGAAGAAGAAAAAAAAAACAAUACAAAGAUCACAAUCUCUGGAAAUGUGAGAUCCAGAGCAAUAGUCCAAGGUACACCUAAUUGAUCCACCUUUAUGUUUGGAUCCGAGGUUACCAUUGCUUGUGCUGACUCAAAAACUUGCUCUUCCAUCAAAUGCUCUCUAAUAAGACCUUCCCUUCCAUUAAGCCUGCAGCAUAUUGAUCUAAUAGGCAUCCCUGCAUCUGUCGUAGCCUGUUCAACAGAGAAAAGCUUGAGCAUACAUGUAUAAAAAGAAGCAUGCAGGUUACAAAAAGCUUUUAUUUAUUUAUUUAUGAUGUGUAUGAACAGGGCAAAAGAGAUGCAGCAUAAAACCAUAUUGCUUCUGUGAUGUGUAUGAACAGGAAAGAGGAGAUGCAGCAUAAAACCAUAUUGCUUUUCUGAUGUGUAUGAAGAGGCAAAAAGAGAUGCAACAUAAAACCAGAUUGCUACAUACAGAAGUGUGUCUCCAUCUCCAUGUAUACAAGAAGCCAUACCCUUGGUUGUCCAGGCAACUUGUUAUAAUAUUGGGAUAUGUAAAGCUCCAACAGGCGCUCACCAUGAAGGGAACGCACUUUCCUAGCAUUGAGAUGAUUAUUGAGGCGAAUAAUCCUGUAGAGCUGGAAAGUGAGAUCAUCCUGGUAAAUGCGGCAAGAAUCCGCCCUCAUGAAGGGCCUCACGUGAGGUGGAGGAAUUGGAAGAACUUGUAUGAUCAUCCAAUCCGGACGAGCAAAUGUAAGGUUGAACCCCAACUGACGGCAUGGCUCAGUGUGUAUCUUCUGCAGAAUAGCAAGAGCCUGCAAGAAUGAUUGAAUUAUAAGUUAGCAUAUAUACAUGCAAAAUGUCGUCGCGAGUCUAAUAUAAGGAAUGAAAGCAUUUCCUCGUCGAAUUUACCUUUUGUGCAGUAAAGGGCACUUUUUGUACAGGUGCCGGUGCAGGUCCAGGUUCAGGGUCGUCUUUUCUCUUUCUUUUAUUAGUCUGCGGGCGCAUCGGAUCUUUGAGUACGCUACUGCCCUCCAGAUAGAGCUUGGGCUGCGAAGUUUUACAUUUGGGACAUUGUAGUCUUGAGGAAUGUACAGGGUCGACGUCUGAAACUGAAAUUUGGUCUCAAAUGUGGUCUUGUGGUUGAGGUUGGAUCAUUUUAAGCCUUUUUCGUGGCCUGUUGAAUGUCAGGGCAUGGUUAAAAUUGGUGCGAACCUGCAAAAUCAAGGUACAACUUUGUGAGGGUUUGAGAAUUUUCAAUUCAUCCAUCUUAUUUACUGAAGCAAAAAUGCAAUGAACUUACCAGAAUUCGUGAACAGCGGAAGCAUACGGAUUCCAAUACCGAGAACACCGUCUUGGUGAACAAGACGUGGUAGAAUGGUUGGGCCAAUACAAUGUGACCAAAAUGGCCAGGGCAGCUGUGCACGUCUCCGCCACAAGUCUCCCAGUUGACAUUUCGGGCAAUUGCACCCAGCCGAGGGUCACUCAGACCUUCCCUCUUCGCUUCCUCUGCUAUCUCACGGCACCGAUGCGCCCAAACACACGAACAUGCACACACAAUAAUCAUAUUUCAGGGAAAUAAAUUGCGAUUUUGAAGAAUAAACUUACAAUUUCUUUGGGGUCGAGCAUGCCGAACUGUACACAGCCAACAACUUUAUCGUGCUCCAUUUUCUGCUUCCGGGUUUCUUCACCUUCUUCAAGUAGUUUCUUUCUAAUUUCAGCUGAGAGAGAAGGAGAGAGGGGAGUUCUGUAAAGCAACCUAAAGAAAAUGAGGCUUUUUAACUAGGUCGUACGUCUUACUUUUGGUAGCCCGCUGAAAUUUCAUCUUCUAAAUCUCCAUUAAUUGGAUCUCCCACGAAAAAAAAUUUCAUUCUGACUGAACACGUGGUAAAUCAAGUGAAAUUUUAUUUUUUAAGUUAUUAAUUUUUUAAGACAUAUAUUUCAUCAUUUAUAUAAUAACACGUGGUGUACCAUCCUGUAUUUCAGUCACAUUGAAAAAUCUCUCCUGCCCACCAUAGUUAUUUCUUUCUUUCGAGACAUUCUGUUUCCGACCCUAGCUCUUCGGGGUUUAAGUAAUCAAUUUUAUAUCCAUGUACUUCUCCCUCUCCAGUGAAUAAGAACAACUAAAGGAGUGAGGCAGCACGUCACAACCCGUCCCGAAAUAUUAUAUUUUUAGGCAUGAAAUUUCUAAUAUGCCCUUGGACGUUUUGACUUAUGUUGUGUGGUUUAGACUUGGGUUGUGGACCAAUAUGUUAAGUUCUAAUUAUUUUGGACCAAUUAGAACUAAACUUUCCUAGUUUGUGGUUGGUGGUUGUUGCCAACUUGGACCACACAUUCACUCACACACAUACACAUCACUCUCAUGCUCUCUCUCUCCUCCCUCUCAGACUUCUCUCCAUUUUCGGUAGAAGCCGUAUGGACGAACUUCGAACUCAAGCUUUCAUGCACGGAUCGACAUCAAUAAGGUAAUUUUUGAACUCCUUACAAGCUUCUGAGUUCAAUUAUACUAAUUUUAAGACAUGAAACCUUCGAUUUCACGAGGACUAAGAAUCUCCGAUUCGGCGUAUUAUUCAUGUGGUCGUAAUUAUGGAUGUUGCAUGAGAUUUAAAGCUUGUAGGAAGCUUUAAAACAUCCGUACGAAGCUUGGAAAAGAAAAACCAAGUAAAUUGGAUGUCGGGAAUUUGAGAUUGGCAAGUUUUAAGUUCAGCCGGAUUAUCAGAGCUUUUUCCGGCGAGUUCCCGGAGUUUUAGGGUCUAAAAGUGGUAAGGUUUUAUUCUACUCCUUUAGGACUUCAAUUUGAUAUAAAUUUGGUGAAUUUUGGUACAAAAAUGAAGAAGUUAUAUGGUUUUAAAGUUUCCAGUUUCUCGCGACGGAGACGGUCGCCGGAGUUCGGAGGUAGGAGACGACGGAAUAUUCCGUCCUAACGGCGACUAACGGCGUUGGUUGAUUUUAACGGAAUAUUCCUAACUGCAAUUAGGGUUCUGUCAGGGUUGGCCGCGAGUGGGGGCGCGUAGUGCCAUGCCCUCAUCGGCGCAUGACGGAGCGUGACAACUCCAAAAAAAUUUCUAAAAUUUGGGGAUGUUCAUGGAGUUGUGUAGGUUACGAUGGUAUAUUUAUAUACCUCAUUUGAGCAAUGUAUGAGAAGUUAUUAUCUGGUUUUGGUUAUGUGCUAUAAAAUAACGUUUUUAUAGUUGUUUCACAUAUAGGUGAAAUCUAUCCCGAGGAAGAGCGCAGCCAGGCUAGGCACAGGGGCUACGACCCUUCUACAUAUCAAUAAGUGGGCUUUUGAUUUUCUGUAUACAUGUAUAUACUUGAUAUUUUUCCCAGAAAACAUAUUUAAAUGUUAAUAUGAUUUGAAUUGCCAUGCCAAAUAUUCUAUAAAAUUGUUUAUGCAUAUAUUGGUUGCGUAUAUAUUAAUGUUGGUGCUGUGGACGCUCAGGUAAGUCCCAGGUGAGUAUUGAAUUGUGAUUGAGAAUUGCAUGGUUAUGAUCAUAACUGAGGAAUAUUAAGCUCAUAAACCUACACCCCGGUGUUGUGAUUUCGCCACGGGUUGGCACAUGCACGUUAUUGAUGUCACCUCCCACACCAUAUGCUUACAUUGGAUCCAAUUUAAGUGCACAAUCUUGUCGUGCAGACCACUAUAGGUGGUUCCGACUCGUAGGUGACCAACGAUUUAUCGCACAACUUAUGUGAGAGUAUAGCUUUGAGCAUAACUAUAGUACACACAGUCUUGUCGUACAGACCACUAUAAAUGGUUCCGACUCGUGUGCAUGCAUAUAUAUAUAUAUAUAUAUAUAUACUUAUUGAGUUAUUGAUUCGGCCGUACAGGCCACCGAGGGUGGAUCCGGUUAACAUGCAUUUAUAUUGAGUUAUUUCACCUGGUGCACUGAUUUGAUUAAGCAAUAGUUAGUUGCUUUGCAAUGCCAACAUCUUCACAAAACUUCUCAAAUUCCAAGGAUAUGUAUACUCUCCUCCUUUGUCACUUCUGAGCUUCUUCAACUUGUGAGCAGUUUGUAGUUCAACCAUAGCCUUGAACAUUUUAAAAAUUUUGAAUACCUCAAACUUAUACUUAUAAACCCAACACAUCAUUGACUUGUCAUCGAUGAAGGUAAGAAAGUAUCUGCUACCACCAAGAGUCUCACUCAUGGGUCCAUACACAUCUGUGUACAAGUUCUAGUGGAAAUGUUGCCCUCCAUCUCUGUUCUUUGUUGAAGGCCUCUCUGUGAGCCUUUCCAGUGGCACACUCUUCACACACCUAAUUGUGCUCUUGUAAGUGAGGCAGACCAUACACCAUGCACCUUUCUUAUAGCAUUCUCAAACUAUCAUAGUUCAGAUGCCCAAAUUUUCUGUGCCAUUUCCAUGUAUUUCCUUCAAUAGUUGCUCUAUUUGCUACAAUGUGAUCCACAAAUUCAAACAUUAGAGGGAAACAUCUAUUUCAUUUCAUUUGCACAGUAGCAACAUGGUCUUGCAGAUCCCUAUCACCAAAUAUGCAAGCCAUGAAAUCACCAAAUACUAACCAAUACCCAUGUUCUACCAUUUGGCCUACACUGAGAAGGUUCUCAUCUAAACCAGGUACAAUCAUGACACCUGGUAUGUACCUAGUUCCUCUCUUAGUCUCCACUACCAAAGUCCCUUUCCUAAUUGAAUCAACCAAGUUUCCUGUGCCCAUUUUCACCUUACACCUUAUACUCCUGUCAAUGUUGAUAAGAAAUUUUCAAUCACACAACACCGAGAAAACCAGAAACCCAAAAAAUCUGCAAUGAAGUGAGCUUGAAAUUUUGAAUCACGGUACCAAAAACUCAGAAAACGCAAACCAGAUCCAACCCCCAUCUUCUACCUUUGGGCCAAUCGCACAUGCAACCCGCUCCCAACUCCUAAAUUUUCAAUCUCUUCCUUGCUUUGUGGUUUGAUUGUGAAGAUUUGCAGUCGAUUAUGAAGUUGGGAGAUGAACAGCUUCUAGGUUUAAUUUUGAUGUUAAUUUCUUUCAUCAAAGGAGAGAGAUGAACAGAGAACAAAAGGAAGAAAAUAGGGAGAUGAACGGAGAUCAAAAGAAGAAGAUGAAGAGGAAGAGGGACGAAGGAAAAAAUGAAGAGGGACGAAGAAAAAUUAGGAAGAAAACAGAGGGAGAGGGGCGGAGAAAAUUUAACUUAUGCUAUGGAACUAAUGAAAGCAACGUGAUGCAGAGAAGAUCAUGUUUUCAAACACUGAUGCUAAAGUGAUUAAAAGCAUUUACCUGACGCUCGAGCUUCUAGUUCAAAUUCCCCUCGACCUAUACGUUUGUAUUAAAAAUAAAAUAAAAUCUCCAAAUCCCUAAUCUGAAUCCCUCAAUUCCUAAAUUAGGGACUUAUACAAAAUCAGAAAUUCGACAUCACUUGAAUAUCUAAAAUCCCCAACCAAACAUAAAUUAGAAACCCCUAAAUCUUAAAUCUCUAAAUCAGAAUCUAGAAACGAGCCCAUAAAUUAAUAAAUUGCAAAAAAAAAAAAAAAAAAAAAAAAAAAAAAAAAGACUUACAGAGCCGGCCGGAGCAAUGGAACGGAGCAGCUGGAUUAUUAUAUGGAAUGGAGGAGGCUCGAGUGGAAAGUUCGGAUCAUGCGCGGUCGGCAAUGAGAGGGAGAGAGACGCAAAUGCUUAUAGCAACCUCAUUUCGUUUUUAGAAUUGAAUUACUUGCUAAAUUCAGUUUUAAUUUUCAAAUGAAAAAAGAGAUAUGAUACUAAUUUUCAAACUUUGUUUAACUUAGGAUAAAAAACUUGUUUGGGAAUCCUUUUAAAAAGACAACUUCAAGCAUUUUUCGGAAUGCUUUUAAGACGACUUCAAGCGUUUUCAAAAAUGAUUUUUAAAUCAUUACUUAGUAAAAACGCAAGUUAGUUCUUAAAAAACACUUACUUUGGAACUCAAAAAUAUUUUCUUAAAAAAUCUUUUCAUCCGUUUUAAAAGCAUUUUCAAAUCUUAAUUAUAUGGCAUGAGUAUGCUAUUAUUUGACACUGAACGCAAAUUUAGAGGUCGAAAUAGAAAGAAAAUAUACGAGGAAAGACGAAGAAACAAAAAAGGACAAAUUACAGUUUACUGGGUGCAAUUACAAUGCACCAUCUUUAAAACAUUUCAAUUUUACACAUGUACUUGUUAUUUCAUGUCAAUGCCAUACAUCGUUACAUUUUAUAUCAACUUGAGUGGUAAAUGAUUGAUGAUGCGACUCUAACUUUAUGUCAUACGAAUAAAAAAGUAGUAAACUAUAUAUGGUAUCACGUAAAAUUUAGUACAAAACUUCGACAAAAAUCUAAUAAAAAAGUAGUAAACAAUUUAUGUCACAUUCCUCCUCAUGCUCAAUUCAAUUCAUCCAAUUCUGAUUCCGAAAUAGUAAAACAAGCCAUAAGUGAUCUUAUCUUAAAAACCAGUUUCAUAAUCAUUUUUAUGCAAACUUAAGCAGAAAUCAAAGGAAAUGAGGAAUGAUAGUCACAUAUAUAUAGAGAAGAAAUGUAACAAGAAUUCAGCUAGAAAAUGACACAACUAAGGCAUACACACCAAGCUUGAUUCAAACCACGUGAGAAACAACUUAAUGGAAGUAGAAGAUUUUGCUUCAGAAAUAGUAAAACUGGCAAUGGCAUUGACAGUAGUAGAAGAACCACUACCAACAUCAGAAUCCAACUUUUAUCUACAAUUUGAAAGGACUUGCAACUCCGAUAAAAGCACUUAAAAACAGAGAAUGAUAAAGAAGUAAGCUGAUUAACUAGAAUACAUGAUAGGUAUGCCAGCACUAAGUUCCAAGUAAAAAGACCAUCACCGAGAAACUUCAUUCAAACGCCCACUGGUUCUCACGACGAACUUCCUCCUCUUCCUCCGGGGUGAAGUCGUUAUUGAUGUUGAAGGUCUUUCUGAUCUCUUCUGGAGUCUUACCCUUGAUCAUGUCUGCAACUGUCUGGCAUGUCAGGUCCAAAAGGCUCUUGAUGUUCAAGUAGUUUGCAGCCUGUCAAUGCCAAUAUCAUCACAUUAGAAAAACAUAAAUAAUGACAGUUUUGGCAAUUAGCCACUCACAGAAAUAAUGAACACCAACAGAUCAAAUUACUGUAGUUUCUGCAAAAGCUUGCAAAGUAUAUUCAUAAACCAAUUAAACCGACAAUACUAUCGCCACAGACUGAAUAAUGAUGAUACGCAUGGAAACUAGUUAUUUGUUCCACCACUCUACAAAUUGACACACCACAAAUGUUGCAGAAAGAGGCACAUUCUCUUAUUAACAAACUUAAUCACAACUUAGAAAAGUAAACGUCGAAAGGCAAAAAAUUUCAAUACGAAGAUAUUCCUCUUUAUCUCAACUUCAAACAGAAGCACAAGACAAACUUGAAGUAGAAGCAGAAGCAGAAGCAGAAUCAGAACAAGCACAGUAACAUCAAAAGCAACAAAAUCAAACAAUUCAAAUACACAGAAACCACUGAAUCAAAUCCCUAAACAGAAACAAAAGUAAAAAAUAAUCGAAUUGCAUCGCAUACCAAACCAUCAUAGAAAACCCCUAAAUCAGCAACCCUAUCCCAGAAAACAACACAAUUGACCCCAAUCCCCAAUUCAAAAACCCUAACCCAAACCAAUCCCCAAAUUCCGAAACCCUAGAAUCAAACAAAGCAAUCGCGAACAAGAUUAAAUCGAAAUUCGAGAUUCAAUUAGGGUUUUAACAUACCAGAAUGAGAUCAAACAGCGUAGCCUGGUCCACCUUUACGAACUCCUGAUCCCAGGCCUUGAGAUCGUCCUCGGAGAUCUUCUCGUCGGGCUUGGCGGCGUCGACGUGCCUCUUGCAGUACUCGAUGACCUUGGCCAAGAUCUUGCUGGUGACGUUGGGCAAAGGAAUACCGUUGUCGGCGCAGUCGUCCUCGAUCAUGUGCUUAAUGGUCUGUGACUCCAGCGCCACCGCCUCCUC